CAAAAUUAGGUUUGGUCACCAAUUUUGACUAGUUUUAUUAUUAACAAAUCAAAAAGAAAAAGCUAUCAUUUUUCUCUUCUCCUUCACCGAAAUAUGCAGAAAAGAAAGGGCUUUGAAGCUGGAAAAUUUCAGCAACAUAUUUCCCUUGCUUGUAAGUGAUUUUAAUGUCUUUGCUUGAUGAUUUUUACAUUUUUGGAACCCCUAAAGCAUGAGCUUUCAUAUGAGGGGUCUAUUUUGCAAAAUGAUGAAGAGUCUAGGGUUUUGCCAUGAGAGUAAAUGUGUUGUUUUCUGUGUUUUUAUGGAAGAUUAUGAGUCCUAGUUGUCUAAUAAACAACUUUUGUGAAAGAAAUUGUAUGAAAACACCUUAAAAAGGGCUAGAUUGCUAAGUUGUAAAAUGAGUUGUAAAUGUGUGAAAUAGUUGAAAUUAUGAGUUGCUAUAGUUAUGAAAAUGGUUCAUCUAGACUCAAGGAGUAAAGAAAUGUGAUAAAAAUUAUUUUACGAGCCUAGGGGUAAUUUGGUAAUUUUGGAAAAAUAUAGGGGCAAAAUUGUAAAAAUUGCCCAAGUGUGUCAAUGGACUAAUUUGAUCAGUACAUUGUUUUAAUAAGUUGAAUAUGAUAUUUUAGAUGAUGAAAAUCGAGAUUUGGACCUAGAACGGAAAGAAAUCGAUUAAAGGAUAAUUACGUCUUUUUUUUCACCUUUGUGGUAUCGAGGUAAGUUCAUGUGUAAAUAAAGUAGCAUAAUUGUUAUUUUUAAGUUAUUGAUGUUAAAUAUAUGAUAUGCUGGUUUCUAUCAUGAAAUAUAUGCUUUGUGGUUAUUUUCGAAUAAAAUGCAAGUUAUGUGUAUUAUCUGUUAAAUAUAAAGUGCUACCGAGUAUUGGUUUCGGUAUUUUACGGAAGAUGGCAAGGAGAUGUGUUCGAGGAAAAUCCCGUUUGAACCUUGGGAAUAGAUUAGGAUACAAGUGACAUGUCACUAGGAUGGUUGAGCAUCCGAACUCGUUGAGUUGAGUCCGAGUCCACUUAUGGAUGCGAAUGUUCGAACUCGUUGAGUUGAGUCCGAGUUCGUGAGAUGUAACUAGGCAUCCGAGCUCGUUGAGUUGAGUCCGAGUUCACUUAUGGAUGCGAACGCCCGAGCUCGUUGAGUUGAGUCCGAGUUCUCUUAUGGGCGGGUUUCAUGGUAGCUUGGCUACAUAUGUGGCACUUAUGUGCAAACUUUCCAUGUAUCCGAAUUAUAUUCCGAUGUGUUCAACGGGUAAAAUUCUACUCAAAUGGAGGAGUACUCGAGAUGAAAGGGACGUAUUGGUAAAUGUUGUGAAAUGGAUACUUUGAACAGGUAUGUACUUAACCCUCGGGUUGAAAACUCGACAUAACAAUAAUAUGGUAAGAUGAUAAAUGAAAAUGUGAUAUGAAUGUCUCGGUGAUGAUUAUACAAACGAUGUUGUAUUAAUUUUGUGAACAAUGAUCAUGAAUGAGUAAUUUAGCCUUGACAGAUUUGAGUUACUGCAGUAGUGUAACUUUGAAAAUACACUAAAAAUAGUGGAAAAUGAGUUAGAGGCAGAAUAAAAUAUGGGAUUAAAGCUUAAUGAGUCUAUUUUCACAUGAAAGAAACAGGGGAAGAAAAAGAAUUCCAUAUUGUGUGAUAUUUGAAUUCUUGUGAAACAAGGUCUGAAUGAAUUCGAGAUCCCCUGUUCUGAAUUUAGAAAUUCACCAAAAAUUGUACAAAAAUUAUUAAGAGUCAUACCUUACAUGCAUGGAUUCCUUAUUGAGUCUAUUUUUAGGGGAAAUAAACUCCAUAGUUGUUGGAAUUUUUUACAGGGAGAAAUUCAGUUUGUAGUACACAGGGGUCAGAGUGGUCAUACCCUGAAACAGGGGAGACUUUAACUAAUAAACUGUACUAAUUGGCCCAACCAAAAAUUCUAGAAAAAAAUUAGUUAGUAGACAUAUGAGUCUAGUUUCAAUAUAAAUAGACAAGAACAUUAUUCGAGUCUUGUACUAUGAGAUAAUUGAAUUUUAGUACAGAAGGGUCGGAACUGUCAGACAGUGAAUCAGGGGUAACUUUGAGGAAUAAACUGUACUAUUUGGCUUAACCAAAAAUUCUGAAAAUUUUAUGGAAGAAAUGGAAAUAAGUCUAGUUUCAGGGAAAAUUAACAGAACUUAAUUCGUAGUUUCGUAGCUCCAGAUAUAAAAAAUUUAGUGACCGUUGCUCAGAAAGACAGCUUGCAGUGAACUUGAGAAUAUGUUGUAAACAUUGAUAAAACAAGUUAAUGGGUGCUUAUUGUUUUCAUAUGAACUUACUAAGCGAAAGCUUACCCCCCUCUUCUUUCCCAUAUUUUCUAGAGUUUCCAGGUUAGCUCGGGUUGGAGGCCGUCAGAGAUAUUAUCACACUGUCAAGCUAACGCUAUUGGUGUAGUGAUUUCAAGUACUUUGAGCCUAUGGCAUGUAUAGGAGUUUAAAUAUUAGAGUAUGUGAUAUGGCUUUAACCAUAUGUGUUGGCCUAUUUUGAUUAUGGGGUUGUAAAUCUAUUUUAAUUAUGCAUGCAUGUGCUAUGGUAUUAUGUGAUGAGUUUAUAAUGAUUAUAGUAUGAAUGUGGUAAAGAUGUGAGUAAAAUCUAUGAUAUCUAUUGCAUGUGAAAUUGCCAUAAUCAUGACAUGUUAGGAAUGUUUAAGUACCUAAUUUUGCCACGUUGUAUGUUAUUGUAUAAGUAUGCGUGUAUCUAUUGUGAGUGUGACAAAAUGGCUUGGAAAAUAGCCUUAUAUUUGUCCAGGUUUUUGGACACGGGUUUGGGACAUGGGCGUGUCCCUAGCACACGGGCGUGUGCUCUGCACCCACACGGGUGUAUGAAGCCUUGAUGCAAGAGAUUUUCUAAGUUUUUCAUGAGUUCUCGGUUGGGUCCCAAACCACUCCGGAUGUAUGUUUUGGGCCUCGUAAGCCCGUAUAUGGGACAGAUUGUAUGUGAAAAUAAAAGUUUUUAAUUAUUUGAGAUUUCAUGGCCUUGUUUAGUAUGAAAGUGUUAGUAAAAGUCAGGUAGCACCUCGAACCCCGUCCCGGCGUCGGAUGCGGGCGAGGGGUGUUACACUACAAUGCUCUUGAUAGAAUAUUUAUGCUCCUAUUUACAUUACGAUGCCCCGACUGCACAUCUUUGUCCUGAGUCUCAGGUGAUUUGACAAGCACUUCGGUGUUCUAGUAUGCACUUUCGUACCAUAUUUAACACCUGAGUUUUUGUCGAUAUUGUAACCUGUGUAACCGAACUUUUUACUAUUGUUCAUCGGGCUGUCAUGUUUAAAUAAAAGAGAUGAGUGACUUAUUAAUAUGAAUGAGUUUGAGUACUUAGAUUGAAUUGAAUGAAAUGUUACAUCGAUUGUCCUAUUACAUGAAUUUGUGAAAGACUCAUCUGUUUCUUGUGAAAUGAAAUGUCAAGAUUGAAUAUGCCAUGAAUACUUAGUUUUAUAACUGUAUUUUUGGAUGAUAAGGUAAGUUAAUGUAUAUAUUUUCAUAUGAACUUACUAAGCUUUUGUAAAGCUUACUUGAUUUUGUUUUCUAUAUCUUAUAAUUGACGUUUUGUGAAACACGGCUAUCGUAUCUCUUCAAAACUCACACUAUCCAACAUUUGUCUCAGUAGUUCUUUUGAAUUGUCCUUUAUUAACUAUGUGGCAUGUAUAUAGGCUGAAUGGUACUGAAGUUGUAUUCUGAGAAAAUGAUAUGAAUCGUGUGAAUUUCUUGUUUAAGGUAUUGUAAAUGUGUAUAUAUGUGUUCUAAAUAUGUAUAAAAAUGCAUGGAUUGAGAAUGAUUAUGAACCACUUGUUUUAUGUUGAUUUUGGUAUGUUUUAUCAAGCUAGUGAUGAAUGGUUGGAAUGUAUGCAUAUUAUCAAUGAAUUGAUAGAAUGGAAUGGUAUGUUAUACUUGAAAGUCAUUAGAACAAUUGAUGGUAUGUAUUAUAUGCAUAUCAUGUUGUUGUGAAAUGGUGCCAUUGAGGCAUAUUGGUUAGAAGAUUAGAAAAUGGAUAUAUGGAAUGUAUUGAGUAGAGUUGAGAAUGUUAAGUUAAAGAAUAUGUUUUGUGUGUCUAGUUGUUGAAUGCACAAGCUAUUAAACUUGUUAAAAGGAAAAUCUUAGGUGAUAUGGACGAAUGGUAUUGUGGUUGGUUAGUUACAUGUUUUGGCAUGAACGUAAGUUGAAUGUUAUGCGAGUUUUUUGUAGCCAUGUAAAUAAUACUUGAAUUAUAGGUUGUUUGGCACAAGUUAGGCAAUUAGAAAGACACAUGUAUUUUCAACACGGGCUAGCACACAGGCGUGCGCCACAAAUAGUCUGGCCACAUGCCCUUUGUGAGUACUAUAGUUUUGGUAAAUUUUGUACCAAAAGAUCACAGUUGGUUACAUGGCCCGGCCACACGACUAUGUGACACCUGAAUUGCAAUUUGGUCUUUCUUUUAUGAAAAGUUUCAAAUCGGUUAUUGAUUGAUUCUGUAAUGGUUUUUGAGCUUUAAUAAGCUCGAUUUAAGGCCAAACUUGUAUGCAAAGCAUGAAUUGUGUUAUUGUUUGAGAUUCAAAGAUUGUUGUGAUCAAUUCUCGAUUUGAAAUCUCAUAUUCUUGUUCUGUUAUUUACUGUAGCAUCCCGUAAUCGAUUCCAGUGACGGAAACUAGUGAGGGGUGUUACAUUUCUCCUUCUUAUGCCUUCGGCCCCCUUUAUUAAUCCACUUACAUUUCAACUUUUACUUUCAUAGAGUUUCUUCGUAGUCUAGAAUUGCUUCUAGAUAUUCAUUGAGUUGCAUUUUCAACUCCACAAGGUUCCUCAAAUUGUGAACUUCCAAGGCUCUCUAGAUUCCUUUCAAUAUUGUUAUUAAUCUCUUCUUUAUUCUAAAAAUGUUACCAACCACUUCCUCAUUCAAGGUUUUGCUUGUAUCAAUAAAAUGAUAUAUAAUACUCUUAAUAUUUUAAUCCCAUUUCUACACUUCUUUAACAGAAUCCUUAAAUGAUUAUGGUAUAGCCACUCUUUAAAGAAGCAAAACAGUUUAUCCACUCUCCUAAUAUCCACCUUAGUCUUAAUCAGUAUUAGACAAUCCGAAGCACUUAGAAUAACGUUGAAAUCACUCGUAAUGAUCCAAGGAUCAUCCAUAUCAUCUGCAAUCAAAUUCUAUACUAUGUAUAAGUUUUAAAUUUAGUUUUUGUACUUUAAUUUGAUCAUUUUUAAUCCUUGUACUUUUUCUACUUUUAAAAUUUCAAUCUUGACCAACAAUAUCUGUUAAAAUCAUUGAGUUAUGAUAUUAUCACAUGUGUAAUGUCGUAUUAGCUUACUAUUUUCACAUAUUACUCAAAAAAAAGUUACUUGAUAGAUUUAAUAACUGUUAUUUGCAUCAAUAUUGAAACUUCAAAAGUCUAAAUCAUAUAGAGACUACGAACGAUCAAAUUGAGGAACACUGACUAGAUCUACAAUUUUAUAUAUAGUAUAGGUCUAAUAAAAGAAUUUAACCAAAUAGAUUUAACUGAUAUCAUUUGGAUAAUGAAUGAAAUUUCAAAAUUCAAAAACUAUAGGAGUUAAAAUUGACUAAUUCAAAAGUACAUAAACUUAAAAAAAAAACAAAAUUUAAAGUACAUAUACUAAACUUAUGACUUACGUAUAGUAUAGGGGUUAAUAGUAGAAUUUAUCUUUUGUUAAUUUUAAACUCCAUGAUUUUUAUAUAUCAUCACCAUUGACCUCUACCCAAUUAAUUGAUACCUAUAUUAUUAAUAAAUUUUGAUGUGAAGUAAUAUAAACUUUGAAUUAAAAUUAAAGCGAAUUUAUAAAAAAAAUUAUAGCAUAAAAUAUAAAAGGUUAAAAUAUGUUAUUAACCUCUAUAUUUCUAUAGAAUUUAAGAUUUAAUUUUUAUAUUUCAUUCUAUCUUUUUAAUUUAAAAGUUCUCAUCCAAUCAUCAUCAUGUUGAUAAUUUUUGUCAAAAUUUAUCAACUUACUAUGUUUCUUUUCCAUCAAUUGUAUGUCACGUCAUAUAAAAUCAACUUAAUCAAUGUGCGAAGUUAACAAUUUUUUACUGAAAAUACAAAAGAUGUCAAUGAUUGGAUUGAUAUUUUUAAAUAAAAAAUAAAAACAUUUAAUUUUUAACUUUUUAAAUACAUAAACUAAAUCUCAUAUUUGAUCAAAACAUCAUAUUUUAGCAUGAAAUUUAAUAAUUUUAUAAGAAUAUUUGACAAGGAUUCUCUACUUCUAUAAACUUUUAUUUCAUACUAUCUUUUACACAUAUUCUCUUUACUAGUAUGUUUUUUUUAGCACAAUGAUAAAUUUAGCUCUUAAUAUUUACAUUUUUUUUUGUCAAUUUUAGUUUUUAUUCUUUGUUUUCUAGUUAAAUUUGAUUAUUAACCUUUUGAAAAGUGUCAAAAUUUUUUAACGAAAAUACUGAUUAAAUCAUUAAAUUUUUGUAAUUAUAUUGGUGUGACAACGCACAUGACAGUCCACAUGUACUUUAUACUGAUAUGACACUAUUUUUCGUAUAAGCCACAUUAAAAAAUAAUUUAGAAAAAGUAUAAAAAUAUUUCACCAAAAAAAAUGAAGUAUACAUGGACUGCCAUCUGCUUCUAUGUUUAAAAUUUUAAUAUUUUAAUUAAUAUUUGAUUUAAAAAAACAAAUAGACUCUUCUCAAAUAUUAAUGAUUAAAUUUGAAUCUUUUGAAAAGGUUAAAAGCCAAAUUUAGCUAAAAAAAAAAAUAAAGACUAAAUUGAUAAAAGAAAAUAUAAAUAUUAAAGGUUAAAUUUAAAUUAAUACCUAUUUUUACCAAAUGAAUUGAAAUUUGAGCAUUACUUUUAAAAUUAUUAUAUUAAAUUAAAAACUUGAUAAUAGAUAUAGAAAAUUCUGAGCUUAGAAUUAUUUAAUUUCAUGAUUUUAUUAAGAAUAAUGAUCUGUUAUAUUCAAGAUAUCAACAGAAAAACAUAUAUAAUGAAACAGGAAAUCCAGCACUCAGCAGCUGUGGCAUUGGUAUACAAAUUAUAAUAAUAAUAAAAAAAAAAUAGGGUUAAGGGAUUAAUUAACUUAAGAGGCAUUGUUCCAAAAUCUCAUUUAUUGGCUCAUCAACAAUUUAACACAUAAAUGAAUCUAAUUUUCAUCGUCCACCAUUUCUAUAUUACAUACACACUUAAUGAUUUAAUUUAAUCUGUUUAUUUCAAACACACUGUUUUUUCUUCUUCUUUUUUUUUUAAUAUUUGAGUAUAAAUUGAAUUAAAACCAACCAUAUUUUUUAAUAUCUAACCUUUCUAUCUUUCCAUUAAUUAAGCCAAAACAGUCGCAUCCAACGUUGAAACUAUCAGCAUGAGCUGGCAAAUCAGUGGGUCCCAUUGACCAGAUUUUUUAGCGGUCGAGCGGGGGUGAGUUUUGCGACGUGGCCUUCGAAAAGUUCGACGUGCAAGGCAUCUCGCGUAUUUUAAUGCCACGUCAGACGGGGGGAUCAAUUGUUUCUGACCAACUAUUUGAACUUUUAGAUUAUGCUAAUUGCUUAUUUAUUGUAUUAAUAUUCCAAAAAUAGGUUAAACUAUGAUUCAUUUCAAAGACUAUCCUUUUAAAAUAGGUUCAUCUCACCAAUACCCACUUCAUGGUGAAGUAUAUGGUUGUAAGUCCUUUCAAACUUGGCGUAUAUUAUUAAAUUGUCACGUAUUAAUUGAAUAUUAUUUUUUAAAAAAAAUAAUUUAAAUUAAAUUUUAAAGAGGAAAAAUAAAAAUAAUUAUCACUAAAUAUUUUUAAAACUAAGUUUUCAGAAUAUUAUCUAUUAAUAUUGAAUAAGUCCUCAAAUUAGUUAUAACAAUAAACACAAUAAAACUUAUUGAAACUUUCAGAAAUCUUUGAAUGUAUCAUAAUCUUUCAGAAACUUAGACUAAGAAGUACUUAAUCUAUAAUGACAUGAGUUAAUGGUUGCGUUUGUUGGAAAAGUAAGCAGGAAUGUGUAUGUUGAAUUGAUAAUUGAUUUCAUAAAAAAAAAAUGGUAUAAUAAGUUUAGGUGACUGUGAUGAUAUUUUCGUGUUGAUAUAUUUAAGUUAUAUUAGUGACGAUUGUUGAUAAAAUGUGUAUUUAUGCCUGAUUGAAUUACAAACUUAGAAGAUAAGUGAAUAAAUAAAUGUACAAAAAUUUUAGAAACAUAAGCCUAGUAUUAUGACUUAAUUCACCUUUAGAAACUCGAGUAGGUAGUAGUAGAAAUCCUUGUAAGAUUUUGUUUAGAAUUUGGAUUGAAAAGUUCAAUGAGAUUUUAAGUGAAGUACUAUGUUCUCAUAUGUAUAUAUGAGAUCCUUUAUUAUGUUUUGAGAAUACUGAGCGAAUGAAAGAAAUAGUAAUGCUUCUAAUGUGUAUUGGUGAUGUGUCAUUGAUCUUGUACCGGAAAUGGAUAAUGAUUGAUUGUAUAUUUAUGCAUUUUAAUAUCUAAUUCGAGAUUAGAAUUCCGAGCUUAAAAAUAUGAUAGAAUGUAGUAUGUGAAUGAUUGGUGAAUCUAUAAAAGUCAUUUAUAGAUAAAAAAUAUAAAUACUUAACGUCACAUCAGAUGAGCCCACACAAUCCUCAAAUGAUAUACAAGGGAGAGUUCUUGACAACACUCGUCAAUUCAUAGCACCCCCAAUCAAAUGAACUCCUUGUACAGUCCUUCCACAUUGACUCCAAUAGUCCUCUCAACUAACAUUCGCCACUCCACCAUUUGCACUUAAGGAGUGAACUUAAUGGUUGUGAUCCAUACCGAGCCAACCUCCUUAGCACCGACACAAGGAGAGGAGACAUAAGUAGUUCUUGUUGUCUACGCUCUACUAAAAUAUUACUUCAGCACCUGGAAAACUCUAUUUUAACAGCUCUGUGCACCUUGUACAAUACAAACCGCCCUUAUUUUAGCAACUAUUCGCACACCUACAAUAUGAAUAAAAGUUUUAUAACAUGUUAAUAAUUUAUUUUAUAUGAAUUUUCACGUUGUUGUCAUUUUCGUUGGAAAAUUUCAAAUCUAAGUGAUACUAUUGAAAUGAUUCCCAAUUUUGUAUCAGUUAUCAAAUAAUGUGUGCCAAAAUGGUUGUAUGUUAAAAUUUGUAGUUGUUAAUUUGUUAAAGUCAAACAUUGUGAUGAUAAAAAAUGCAUAAAAACAAUGAGUUGUGGAUCCUGAUUGUUGCCCACUCACAAAUCUUAUUUAUUCCAUAUUCAACGAUGUGUUCCUAACCCAAAAGGCAAAACUCUGUUUUUGGAAUAAAUAAAACACUUCUUCUUAGCUUCGAAAGGAAGUUUACAGAUAAGGAGGAAUUUAAAUAAAGAUAAUAUUUAAAAAUUUAAUCUUUAUAUUUAUAUUUUAUAACCUUUGAAAAUAAAAUCAAUAAUCACAAAUAUUUGGUAUUGGACAAGUCUUGUCAAUGCAUGCUGAAAUAUCCUGACUCAUCCCAUAAUCUCCCCAAGGUUUUUCAUAUAUACACCCUACUAUCCACUGCUAGAAAAGACCUUUAACAACAAAUGACUUACAAGUGUUUCUAACAUUUACAUGCACCAAAUGAGUGAAUCCAUAACGAUGAAUAGGAGUGUUUUAUUGGUUAACCGACUUAAACUACUAAUAAUUUAAUUAAUCGAUUUUUUAAAAUUUUUAAUUGAUAAUUGAAUCGAAUCAAAAUUUAUUUAAAAAAAAUUAAUUGAAUUGAACUUUUUCGAUUAAUUAGGUUGAUUAACCGAAUUAACUGAAAUUUAUAUAUUUUUUUAUUUUUGGUUAAAACAAAUAUAAAACAUAUCAAAAAUUAAUUGACUUAACCGACCAAUUAAUUUAUAUUUCUAAAAAAUUAACCGAACCGACUGAAUACUUAUAUAUUAUAAUAUUAUUUAUUAUUUAUUAAAUUCUGUUAAUUUAGUUAACCGAACGAUUUCAAACCUAAUUAACCGUUAACUGAACUUUUAAAAAAAUUAUUAACUGACUCCGACUGAAUUAAUUCAAUAAAUCAACCGAUUAACCGAACUAAUUUAAUUUUACUCGAAAUUUACACACCCCAAAAGCACUACUAAUUUCUUUACAAUUAAUCAAAUUAACAAAGUUAAAAGUGCAUCUUCACCUUUUUUUUUUCCACUUUAACUGAAUAAUGAAGGUUGGAUACUUAUGCUUUCCAAUUUUUUUUAUAUAGAGGAUGUACUAUAAUAGUGAAAGAUGUAGCACAAUUGACAAGUCUUUCAGUUGACAGUGACGUGGUAAUGAGAGAUGGUGAAUUCUAAUUGAUGUAAGUACUUAUUGAUUGCUUGGGCAUAUUCUCAAAAUGGGUGAUGAAUUACAAGGGGAAGUCAAGUGAAAUUUACGUGGUUGUAGGGUCAAUUUGGAAAGCGAAAUGCAACUGCAGAUUAAAACACUCAACAUGACAGAGCUUAUUUCCUCUAAUCGACUGAAAAAGUACCACCGAUAGAAAAGUCUGACAAUUUAGUUCAUUGCAUACAUUUCCGAUUGUGAUGCAAUUUCUAGUAGACCACAAGAUAUAAUUGGGGGUUAGUAGUUUUGGUAUUCUUAUACGGAAUGCUAAGUAAGGCAUCUGAAUGAGAGAACAAUGAAAUAAAUGAUUGCAUUAUACUACAAGCGCGGGAUGAUAUUGAUUAUCGUGCUUAGCGUCCAUCAUUUUUGUUCUACAGACAUUCUCUUUUAUUAAAAGAUUGUUAUAAAAUGUAUUACAUUAUAAAAGUUUUACUAAUAUACUUAUAAUAAAUAUUUUUGACUAUAUCGAUAUUUUAGAUCACACAAAUUAUAAGAACUAUUAUCUUAGACGGGUAUAAUGAAAAAUCCAUAAAUAUGCACAUAAUUUAUUUAUUUGAUGAUUUAUUCAUAUUUAUUUAAUAUAAAAUUUAACAUAAUUUAAUUGUAUAUUAAAUUGUAUGACAACAAGUGUUUAUGACGUAGAAAACAAUUUCUAUUAGAAGGUAAUCUAAACAACAUCCAUGGGGUCAUGAAUGAGCAAGUGACUCAUUUAGGACUAUUAUGUAAUCUAUAAGUACAAAUGGGGAGAUAACUUGUCUUAGCUAUCCAAGUUGGAUUAACUCCCACGUAGAGGUGUGCAUGGGGUGGGAGGGUUUGGGCAAAAAAUGGACUUGGGUAAAAAAAUAAGGUCUGUUUAAAAAACGGGCCGGGCCUUGGGUAAGAUAUUUUUGGCCCGGGCCCGGCCUGGCCCAAAUUCACUAAAUGAUUUUAUUUUUAUUUUUUAAUAUUAUUUUUUCCCUAUUUUCCUACUAUUUUACUAUUAUGUUGCUACUAUUUUGUUGUUAUUGUUUGGAUAUUAUAUAAAACUUAUUUUAUUGUUAAUUUUUUUAUUAUUUUAAAGACAUUUGCUAAUUUUGUUACUAUUUUAGAGGCAUUUGCUUGUUAAAUUGCAUCUAUUUUAGUGUUAGCUAAGUAUAUGUAUUUUUUAAAAUUUAUUUUCAAUUUGUUGAGAAAUAUUUAUUUUAAUGUUUUUAGUAUUUUUGAUGGUUUAUAAAUAUUUUAAAAUUAUAUAAAAAUAAUAUAAAAAUUAGUAUGGGCGGGCCGGGCCGGGUCGGGCUCGGGUUUUAACAUUUUUAUUCGGGUCGGACUUGGGCAAAAUUUUAGGCCCAUUUUUUGGGUCGGGCCUGGGCCUGAGCCUGGCAAAUGGGCCUAAAUUUUUAGUUGGGCCCUACCCGACCCGGCCCGGCCCAUGCACACCUCUACUCCCAAGAUAGAGAUAUAGAUGUAAUUGUUUGGAUUGAUAAAACAGUGAAUUGUACGCAAAAUGAAUUGAUCCUAAAUCUAUUUGUGGAUUAAUUGACUUGUAAUUUUUAUAGUAUGACUUACCUAAAUCCUAAGUUAAUAACUACGUUUGCAUAUCUUAUAUACUUUGAUACAUUACUAAUUUACGUAUCUCAAAAUAGUAUGUUGGGUAUAUGAGACAUAGAUCCACUUAUAAUAGUGGAAUCUUAGGAGCAUUGUAUGGUUUAUGCAAAUAGAACAUGGCUAUGGGUAAUUUGUGUGGACAAUGAUUUAAUCAUUAUUUGUAUAAAGUAAUGAUUAUUUUCUUUAUAAAGAUACAAUGGCGAUUAUGAGAUGAAAAUAAUUAAAUUAAGUGAAUCAAUUUAACCUUAAAAAAUAUUAAAUAUAUGAUAAGAGUAACACACAUCUCAUAAAGUAAUUGAACUAGUAAGUUUCCUAAUAAUAUAAGAAGAGUUAAUACUUAUUUACAUGAUAUUUUAUAAUACGAACCUUGUAAGUCAUGGAUCAGUGUCGCAAAACAUAACUUUGCCUAAUGGACCAAUUACAAGAAGCAAGACAAGACAAUUGAAAAUCAAAUUGAAUUCUUAUGUUCAAGAAUUCAUUUCUUCUAGCUUGAAAAAGGAUCACGAUGACCAUGACGUCGAGAAGUGCAAGUUUGACUUUUGUUAGACCAAUUUCCGAGUCUUGGAAAAGUUUCCCCUUUUGGAAAGUUAAUAAUUUUCAAAUUUUUCAAUUUAAAAACUUUUAUUUUUAGUAUAUUUUAUCUUUUAAAUAUUUUUUAUUUUGAUUCAUUUUUUACAAUAAUUAUUUGAAUGUAUGUUAUUCUUAAAAAAGGUGAACACUUAACUAAUAGACCACAAAUUGGAGUUCAUAUUUUUAUAAAAUUUAUUUAGCAACCUUUUUGGUAAUAAACAAAAGAAAAAAUUACAUUAAAUUAAAUUAAGUGAAAGUAAACUUGAUUAGGUGCGACAUCAAUAACCUAUAGGCUUGACCUCCAUGCUAAAUUCAACUAAGCUAAACAAUCAGCAACUAGAUUACAUUCUCUAGAAAUAUAUCUUAUCCGCCACCGACCUUUAAUUAUUAUUUUUUAGACUUUUUCAAUUUGAUAACUUUCCUUUUUUGUGCAUAAAAAGUCCUAAUUAGCUAUUUUGUAGGAAUGUCAUCCGUAUAAAAAUUUUUAUUUACUCUUCAUUUUAUUAUUGUGAUAAGUUGACUUUCAAAUCUUACUUCUUUUACUAUUUAUCUUGUUUUGCUUCAUUCAGACUUAAUUUCCAAUUUGGCUGUCCACUCAAAAAUAAUUUAGGUUGGAUUCGUAGUAAGCCUUUUUUUUCUUUUGGUUAUAAUCUAAAACUUGUCCAAAAAGUGGGAAAGUUUAAAUAAAAAUAUAAUUGUUUAGGCAAAAAAAUAUAAAUAAAGUACUGAAUUUUUGUUUGUUAUUAAAAUUCAUUGACAAUCUUGAUGAUACAAUAUGAGCUAAAGAUUUUUUUCAUAUUUUCUCGACACUAAAACUCGUUGCUAACAGGUUCAAGCUCUCUGCACACAAGUUGAUCGCAAUAUUGUCACUUUGCCAGUACACAAAUGUCUCGACAUUUCUUCACUAAAAGCCACCUCAUAAUACUCAAGUCCUCCUUUGAUAGACCCAAAAAAAAUCUCAACUUCAGACUUGAUGUCCUCUAUGUAUCUCUAAUUUGGGUUUUCCUCCAAAUCAAUUUUUUCAUUUGUUCAAAAUGUUAAUCAAAGCUUUUGAUUGAAAUAAAAAAUAAUUGAUCAUAUAAUCAACUAGGACAAUAAAUCAAUUGGCCACCUUAUCUAAGAUUGUAAUAUUAAUUACUAGCAUUAGAAAGAUAAUGUUCACAAACUCAAUAGUUCUUAAUAACAUAUCAUUCAACAAAGGAAAUAUUAAAAUAGUAAUAAAAUAACAUAAUAUAUAACAUAUUCAAGAAUUUUUAUAACACUUUAUAAUAUUCGUCAUAAAAACAUUUACAUGAUAAAUUGAGUUGUAAAGAGUAAUUGAAAAAUGCUUAAAGCAUUUUGAUUGUUUUAGGGUUCGAAUAUAUAUAAUGAUAAGAUAAAAAGAAAGAAGAGAUUGAUAAGAUUUGAGAAAAAUUAUAUGGGUAAAACCUAAACUCUGAUCUCAACAUCUAUGAAUGUCAAACUCAUGCCAGUUAAUAAACUCAUAUUAAUUGAAAUACAAUAUUCCUUAGGACAUCUAUAAAAACGACCAUAACCACAAUAUCUUGAAUAUCUAGUUUAAGGAGUGGUCAUCUCAUGUCCCCGUCCCAAACAAUGGAAGUUAGAUUUUGCAAUGAAUCUUUGACCUAUUAACAUCUUGAUAACUAUAAGUAAAAUUAAAAACCCUUUUCCCAUUGCAUAAGGUUUCAAAAAGCUCCAUAGUGGAUUUUCUCUUUUUAUAUAUAUAAUAUAUAUAUUAUAUUUCUCUUGUUUGGCAAUUUAAACAUUUGAUGGGGAAAGAAAAUAUGUAUUUUAUUGUAAAAUUUAAGUUAAUUUACAUAAAAGUUUUUACAUUAUUUAUAUUUAAUGGCGGAUUUAUUAAUAUAAUUAAAUUUAAGCUUUGAAUUGAUCCGACAUUUUCUUUUCAAUAAAAAAUAACACUUUCAGUGGAAUUUUUAACUUUUACAAAUAGUAUUGAAGGGGUGACAUUGUGAGUAUAAAAUAUAUAUUACAUGUAUAAAAAUUCCACAAACAAUAUAAAAAAUAAUAUCCUAUUAUAUAUAUAUAUACAUUUCUCAAAAACAAAAUAAAAUUUCCUCAGUCGACGAUUUAAUAUACAAAUCAUCUAACAUUUCAUUUCCAUCUGUCUACUAUUUUUGCCUCUAGUAGUUUUCACACUUAAAAAAAUAAGUAAAUUCAAUUUCCCCAGCAUAUGCGUAUGAAAAUAAAAUGGACAUAUUAAAACAACUUCAGACAUAGACAAAUCAUUCAAAUACAUAAAAACAUUGAUGGUCGGGUCUCUGUUGUUAAUCCACAGGCUUGUCAGAAAUAUUUUAUGUUAAAAUUACCAAGUUCCAAAUUUGUAUUUUUUAUUAGUUGUUUUUAUUUGAGAAACUAAAACCCAGUCGCUUUGUAAUUCUUUGCCUUAAAUCUCAUGGAUCACAACUUGUUAUCACAUCACCAAAUAUGAACCCAGAAGCAAAAGGAUGGAAAAAAAACAAUAACCUUCUAUUAUUUUCUUAAUAAACUUUUUAAUCUAAAAACUUACAUUGUUGUUGUCGGGGCAACCCGAAAAUGAUUUGGCCCAGUUGAUGCGUGCCCCAUCACAUCUGGUGAAAAAAAUUGAAGAAGAAUCAACAAGGAAAAAAAUAAGGAUUUUCAAUUUAGUCAAGGGGAUGAUCAGAAGGGAUUUGGCCAAAAAUAUCAGGACAUGAAUCCCAUUUCCGCUGCUCUCUAGCCUCCCAAUAUCCACCAAUAUAUCGAUAUGAAUCACUAUUUUUAUCCUUUGCAAACCACCUUGGCUUCCAACCUCUCUCUUGCAUGUUCCGAGCCUGAAUUCGAUUUGAAAAAAGAAACCCCAAUUAGACAUAAAACAACCUUCAAAAUUAUUUGCUAAAUCCAGUAGUAUAAUAAAAAGUACAAUUAGUUUUUAUUCUUUGCAUGUCUGAGAUUUGAUGCAAACAAAUAAUAUUGAUAUCAGUGUUAAUGAGAAACCGUCUAAAUGGUAGACUUCUAAAAUCUAACGAAGUAUAUGGGUUGAAAUCCCACAAUGCAUACGUUCUUUAAGAGAAUGAAUUCUUCUACUACUUUAGUUCUAUACGCAGCUCAGUGUUAUAACAUAUCAGAAGUCCAUAUCAACACUUCGAUGGUUUUUCAUUAAUUCAAGUUUACUUGUUUGCACCAAAAUCAAGUGCAAAAUGAUUAAAUUAUUCAGUUCUAUAAUACAUGAUAGAACUGUACUUUUGACUAUAGUAUGACUGCCUAUAUGUAUACUUUAACUGCUAAAUCCUUUAACCAUAAAGCAACCAAGAAAAGAAAACCUGGGUUUCGGUGAAAUCCUCAGUAGGGUAUUUAAUAACUUAAGAUUGAUGUUAUUUCCAGCUGUAUGCACCACUCAUGGUUUAUGUUUUCACUACAUUAGUGGCAUCUGCAGGUUAGUUUUAUAAAGCCUUGAAAUGCUCUUAGUUGAUCUUUUUAUAUUAUCCUCAACUAGGAGUCUAAAUCUUGGAAUGAGUAAAUCACAACUACGGUUUUUGGAAGAACAAAACCAAGUUCCUAACCCACAUAACAUCUACAUGUAAUUAUAAAUCAAUAGUUCCUGGGCUCUAUAACUCUUCCCAAGCCAAUUUGCUUCAUUGAUACAUGGAAUUUGUUGCAGAAAAGAAAACUAAAACUUACCUGUCGUUGCCGCUGCUCCAACCGCAGCUUCUCUGAAUUUGCCAUUUCAUACUCCCCAUUUUCCAGAUACCUUUGAUCAGGUCUCAGCCUUGAAUCUGUUGGAGGCAACUUCUCCUGUGUACAUCAAGGAGAUUGAAAUCAACAUGCCAAUUACUGCAAGCAAUUCUGAGGGUACCUAGUUGGUGCAUCGGUUUCAAAGUCAUUCCAUUUAAUUCCUAUAGUUUCAAUUGGACAAACUGAUUUGAUCUUUAGGACCAAAAUUUCAUUACCAAAAAUCAAAUAUAAACCAGCAUUUCACAAAAACCAUCAAGGUAUUAGAUGUAAUUCAGGAAUUGUAGGGAUAGCCCAAAAAUGCAAGGAAAUAUAUUUAAGGCAUUAGACAGCUUCCUAGUUUUAAUCCAAUCGAAACUAUUAUAACAAUCACCUUCAGACCAGGAGUGAGCUCAUUCAAUGUGAUGGCAAAACGUGUUAAGUUAUAUCUGGUGGGGUAUUUAGGAGGCUUGCUCCGCUUCCAGAGCAGAUGGGUUUCUGACAAAGAGUCCUGUCCUUUUCCCUUUGCAGAACAAUCUCCAUUCACAUAAUGCAUGCUGUCAUCCCAUUUUCCAAAUAAUGUGGCCACUGUCUUUCCAUUUCUAUCUUGAACUCCACCAUGUACCUGGAAUGCAAUAAAGUUUUAUAAACUGAUAAAUGCUUAUGAUGGUUAAAAAGAGGAUGAUAGAACAAUAACAUAAUUCUAUUAAAAUGAUUUGAUAUAUUUAGUAAAUUGAUUAUUUUUCGGAAGAUGAAAGAUCACCUGGUGAGGGUUUCUAUCUAUGAUAGACUGCUCCUUGAAUUUCAGCUUACAUGAAUAGUCACGAUUCCCCUCUAUUCGCAUAGCACCAUAGUGAUCACAAUACAACUUUCCCAGUAUGAGAUUGUAUAUUGAUGUCGUCACCUGUCAAAAGAAAAUCCAUCUAAGUUUGGUUACAACACAUACGCCAAAUUGUUCUUAAAUUUUGGAGUUAUACCUUACUCCACUUGAACACUUCUCCAUCAUCAAACUCCAAGGUCAACACACCCACAGGAUCUAGCUGAAUUGAGCGACCCCAGAAUUUGCUCUUUAAAUUGCUAUCACCCCACAACUUCCAUCCUGUACCCUGACAAUGACAUGCUACAAUCAUAGGAUGAUGACUGACCUGACAUCAAAAAUGGAAUAACUAUCAGCAACUUCGUGGAUAGCAUUAAAGCAGAAACAAAUAAAAAAAAGGGACAAAGAGAUGAACUGAAAAAAAUAUAGCAAGCAGUGUGCUUUUCUUUUGCCAGUACGGAUAAUAUAAAUGAUACUGAAGCCUAUUAAUAUUCCCACUUAUUAACACCUAAAUGCAUAAGUUAGUAUUUAAGAUCGUCUAUUAACUACACUUGUAAAUUAUGAGAUUCAAAAUCUUUAGCACACACUCCUGUUUCCCCUUACACAAAUUCGUUUGUGGUUGGCCACCCAAGCAAUAUCAUUUUAGGUGAUGAUUGAAUAAAUAUGCUACCUUAUUCCUUACUACCCUAUAUAUUAGCUCUACUCCAGUUGCAUCCAAAACAAGGAUGCAACUUUUUGGAUUGGUAUUUAGACCAGAAAAAGAAAAGGAAGUGACAGAAGAACAAUCAAAGAGAAGCAAGCUAAAAAAGGAAAUCCUAGCUCUGCCUUUCUGUGAACCAAACGAUCAAUAAUAUACUAAACUUGCACAGCUCAUGCAGUACAGCAAAUUUGGCAUCAGGCGUAGCAAACUUGUUUCAACUCCAUAUCACUGUACUAACCAAGUAAAACGAACCAAAUAGAAUGUGCAAAGUCAAAAUUAAGGAAAAUAUUUUAUUGCAUGAAAUAUACAAGCAAAAAAGGUUUUGAUGUUCUAUGAAUAUUGAAUUUAAUAAAGCAAUAGGUAGGUCAAAUGAACCAGGCCUAUUCUUCAGUCAAAGGUUUGGCCUUUAAAGCAAGAUUAAUAUGCUUUAAAUUUUGAAUAUUGAUGUGUAAAUGCAGAAAAACAGAAAGUAGAAAACAAGGAUAGACUAUAUCUCAAAUACAGCCAAACCUUCUCUGAGAAGAAGCGUACACCUUUAUCUGGGAAGUCAGCCUCAUAUGUUUCUCCUAAUAAUGGAUUAAAGGGUUUGCAAAUUCUUGCUUCUGUUGAAGAAUAUCCAGACACAGCAAAUGCAGCCACAUUAAGAAUUCUCAUUAGGUUAUUUCCCUGCAAAUUUUUUACGGGAAAUUAUGAGUCCCAGGGGAAUCUCACCAAAAAUCCAGAUUGUCAAAGUUUAUUAAGGGAAUGAACUGCUAAAAGCAUAGCAACUAGCCUUUUGCACAGUCAAGUACAAAAUAGGUGUGAAAGAGAGAAAUGAUGGGGAAAAAUCAGAGAGCCCUCAGGUAUACUAUGACUACGUUAAAUAAGUGAUGUGAUUACAGAUAAAUAUAAGCGCAGGAAAAUUUUAUUUUGCAACCAAUGCUCUGUUCUCUAAAAUAAAAUAAUAUGGAGUUCAAAGGCUCACCCUUUUACCCCAUUCAUAUGCACGAUCAAGCAGAUAUGAAUAUUCCAGAUCCUCAAAACACUUUUGAAGAGAAGAGAGAGGCUCAUUGAAGUAAACAGGAAGACAAACUUUUGUAAGGUCUUUCCCAAUAUUCUCCUUGAUCAUUGACCAAAGACUUACACUUUUCUCCCUUUCAACUGGGUCAGGCAACUUUUUUCGUCGUUUAAUGCUAGGAAAGUUACUUCCAACAGAUUUGAUGUAAGGAUCGAUGUUGUCUUCAGAAUCAUCAGCAAUAGUACCUUCAUCAUCAGAAGAAAAAGAUGAUCUCCGGAGAUCAGAUCCAUUGCUUCUGAAAGAACUUGAUGACAAAAUGUCACGAGUGUCAAAGAAUGUAUGGUCAUCUUCAUCAGUUUCUUCUUCUGCAGCGUCAACUCUUUCAUUAUCAUCAUCUGAGUCAGUUGAACUUCCUUCUGAGUAAGAAUUCAAAGAGAAAAGAAAAAAAAUUAACAAAAGAAAGCAGUGCUAUGAAAACAUUUAAGUAAUAACAAUUUCCAUAACCAAACAUAUAAGAAAGCCAUGCACAUGAACGAAGAAGACAGUAUAAGCAAUUUCUAUAACUAAGCAACCAGCACAAUAACAAUUUUAAUAAGUCAGCUCCAGAAAAGGCCAAGCUUCGGCGGUGGCUCAGUGGUCAUAUACUCUUCCUUAACGGAGGAAAGACCAUGGAGACCAUUUCUAUAUCGUGCUCCAGCCUAUCCGGAAGUCUAUCUCUGCACUUAAUGAUGCAUAAGAAAGGGAUAAAAGAACGCAUAAGGGACAAAGAGCCAAGAAUAGCAACUUCAAAUUGAUGGAAAGGAGAAUAAACUUAUAAAACAGAACAAGUAACAAGUAAAAACAAAGAAAAGGCACAGACAUGAACCAGCUCAUCUUUUGACAACAUAAAAAGAAAGCAUUAUAAGUUGUCUAAAAAUAAGUAUAGGUAAAACUCAGGCACAUGUCUGAUAGAAUUGAAAGAAAAAAAGUUCCUGAACCAAUAGCAAGUUGUGAGCACUGAUUAUAAACAUCAACCACACGUACCCCAAAACAUAAUAAAUAGUUCAGCAUAAAUUAAGGGACCAGCAGUUGUAAUAAGUACUUCCAGUGCCUAGAAUCUUACCACUGGACUUGUCUUGCCUUAUCAUAGAAGAAGCCCCUAGAUCAAUCAACUUGUUUUGGCUCUCAUCAACCACUGUAUUCUCCAGAUCAACUUUUUCUGUCUACAAAAUAAAGUACACAUAGCAGUUUCUUAGCAGAAGACAAAAAUGAGAACUAAAAUCUUUGUUUCAGAAGUUUUUAAUUCUGAAAAUUAAGCAAUUUUAAGUUUUUAAUUCUCCAAAAGUACAUUUGCAUGAAAGUUAAAAAGGAAGUGAAAGUACUUUGAGCAGAAAGUAAUUUUAAGUUACUUUUCCAUGUACAUGUUCAUAUUCUCAAGGAAAAACAACACGAAUAGGACACCCCAUAAAAGAGUCCCCUCCCUCCCCACUCCCCCCGAGAAAAAAAAAAAAAAAAGAAUUACAAAUUUUAUCUGUACUCAUGCUACUUGGUCAAAAGAAUGCUCACAUGUAAUCAAAUUAUAUCAACUGCAAGUUGAGGAAUUUUAAAAUUCUUCCAGUAUGAAGUAAAACCUUCGGAUUACUUGAAGGCCACACACAUCACAUUUAAUUUGCUCCAUCAAAUAGCCUACCCCCAAAUAUCACCGACCCAACCACCAGCACAACUGCUACUGUCACCGCCAUCAAUGCCAUACAAGUUCCACAACAAAUGCCUCGCUAUAUUGACAUUUAUUUUAUCUCGAAUCAACCACAACACCACCAACGUUUUAUUAACUAAAAAGAUGACAUAUAAGACCAGACUCCUCUCGACUUCUAUAACGGAGUAUUAGCAAGAGGCAGUACCGCAACAAAAAAAAAAACUCCCCCCCCCCAACUCUUAUAAAAGCAAAAUAUCAUCAAAAUAUUCCUUCAUGAUAUCCUAAAUAUCAUACCCCUUUAUAAUUUCUAUGAAGAAAAAAAAGAAAGGGAAAUCAAUGAAUUUGUUUUGAAAAAAUCAAUCAAGUUUUAAUCAAAUUGAAUGAAUAGGUAUUGUAUUAUAAUUAAGAUAAACACAUACCUCUAAUUGACGCAAGGUAUCAAUGAGAAGACUUUGUUUCUGUUUAAGCAACACUAGAUGGUUCUGCAAUGCCGAAAAUUCACUCUUCAUAAUCUGUUCACUAUCUUGGAUAGCCAAUUCGUUUACCCUUUCCUGCAUCAGCCGUUGCCUCAACUUUUCAGUUGAAACCGCCACAUUGUCCAUCGGAGCCAUGAGCUCGCUAUUUGACAUCCUAGGAAACAUAUCUUUAACCGCCUGAAGCGCCUCCACCCACGCAACCCGAUCAUCCCGAGCCUCGGCUCGUAAAUGAAGCCUCUUAGUUCCGGUGAAGAUCGAGAAUCUCUUAUCAUCUGAUCUGCUCUCCCUUAUAGAGGAAACCUGAGAAAAAUUCAAGAAUCAAAUAAUUGAAAAACCAAAUCAAAUUUGUUUUUUUGUUUUAUUUUCCAUUAAUUCAUUAAUAUUUUUAUUUUUUAACCUUUAGGUGGACUUCACCAAAGGGUUUCCGACGGUUUUGGGAAUGACGAGAAAUGGAAUUGCGAUGUCGGGAGAUAAGACGGAGAGAUUCUUCGCCGAUAACUUUGGAUCCUCUUUCCGUUUCUUGGCUAACGACGAUUUUAUCAGGUCCGUGGAUUUUAUAAUAUGAUAAAACUCCGUCCUGCAAAACGAACCAUCUCGGUUUCCAACCUUUCCCAUAAUUCACCCAUUUGUAAAGCACUCCCGAUAUUCCGUUCCCCACGAUGUUGUUUAUCUUCACAUCCACUUGCGGCGGAGGAGCCGGAGCCGGAGCCAGAUUCAGAGCCUUCGAAACCUCUCUUCCCAACGGUGUCCCAUUUCUCUGGCUCAUCCGAUUCAAAUCCACGCUACUAGUACGGCGAUGUUGGUUGUUCUGAUUUUGAUCGGACUGGCACAGGAUUUGGACCAUAGAUCGAACCGAGUUGGAUCUAAAUGAAGAGCCGGAAGAGGAAGUGGUUGUUACGGUAGUUACAGGUGGAUGAGGAGGCAUGGCGACGUUGUCGGGUAAAGGUUUGACUGGGGAAUGAUCCGAUACGGUGGAAAUACAGCAGAGAGGAUGCAUAGAAUUGAACUUGCUUUUCUUUUUAUUUAAUAAAAUGAAAGAAUUAGAAGAUUCCAGUAAUGACGACGGCUGACGUCGAGGCGGAGCACGGUGGUUGCAGUUAAGCUUUUCAUGGAACUAUCUUUUUUUCUUGGAUUGGCCUUUUUCAAAUGAUUUCCUUUUCUUUUCUGCAGAACAAUUUGCAGAGACGGUUACAAAAUGACAGAAAAAAACGACGGCGUUUUGAGCAAAGAAAUUGGGCGUUGGAGUGAAGUUCGGCGGAGUAUCCUGUGAGAGAGAAAAAUCCGGUGAGUUUUGGUACUGGUUUGAUUUGAAUGAAGACUCUGAAUAACUACGCAACGGAUUGUCGAUUUUUAAGGAGCUAAAAAUGAGAUAAAAUUAAAUUUGAUGAUUUGUGUGUAUACAUAUUUUUUUAUGGAUUUAUCUUUUUUUGUCAUAUUAAUUUAGAUAUUUUAUGUUUUUAUUUUUUAUAAAUUUUGAUUUUUUUUGUCUAUCAAUGUGUUUACAACUUAUAGUAACAAUCCUAACCACUUAAUUAAAAGUUAGUCUCAUUUACUAAUUGGGUUUCAAUUCAAAUUAUAAAGAUAUUUUUGUUUUUUAUAUUUUUAUAAAUGAAUAAAACAAUUUUUUACUUAAAUUUAUUUUUAUGACAUUUUACUAUCAACGAGAUUACGGUAUAUCCACCGAUAUACAUGACAAAUAUGUUUAUUAAAAAUUAAUAUUAAUAGCAAAUAAGAUUUUAGAUGAAUAGUAAAGUAUAAAUGUUAAAAAUUAUAAAAGUUUAAGUUCAAAUCCUAUUGCUUGUGAAUAGUUUUAUAUAUAUACACAAUAUUAGGGGUACAGAUUAGGGUAACACGGUUCGAAUCCAUAUUAAACGGGUGUCUGAAAAAAGUUUUAAUCACCAUAUAAUUUACUAUAUAAAUUAAGAUAAUUUUCAUAAUUUCUCAAUUAAACUGUCUAAUUGAUUCGUGACUUCAACUCAGUCAAGUGUUUAAUAUGUAGUAUAAAUAUAAUUAGUAUGUUGUAUCUUUUAUUUUAAUUAUUAUUUGUGUAUUAUAACUACAUUAAAAUUAUUAGAUUAUGGUACUCCCUCUGUAAAUAUAAAAUUUAUAUAAUAAAUUUAUUUAAAGAAAUAUUGAAAUUAAUUAUGUGUUUGGUUAAAAUGAUAAGAUUAAAAUAAUAGAAGUAUUUCGAGAUAAAAUUUUAUUAUAAUAAUAUUUUUUUUAAGUUAAGUCGAAACUAAAUUAAUAGUAUAUAACAAAAAAAAUUAAAACUAAAAUAUGAAAAUUGGGUUGGGAAAUAAAAAUGAAAUGAGAGAGAUAUUAUAUGUUAAGUUAGAAUAAGUUUAGAUGAGUGAUAAAAGGAGGUGCGGUGCGGUGCAAUACACUCGUUUAAAUGUAUCACUCAUUUAAGUUCACCUUUAAUACUAGAAAGGGUGUUGGAUUGGAUGCGGAAAGAAGUUGGGGAAGAGAAGACUGGGACGCAGUGAGAAUAAGAAAAGUGGAAGAAGGAGAGAAGGAAACGUGGAGGAAAAUGAAUGGUUGGGAAAGAUUGACAUGAACUAAGCUGAAAGUAGGCUUUUGAGUGUACUAAAUAAGGAUAAAAGCAGAUGGUUUGGCCUAAAUAACUGAUUCAGUGUGGUCCAAUUUUCUUUAUGCUACUCUAGUGGUAGUUUCUAAAUCUUGACCAUCAUUUUGCUCCACUCAACAUUACGUAUUGCCUCUAUUUCUUUUAUUUAUAUCUUUUUAAUUAUAUUUUUUUUUAAGUUUUAUAAUUUAUAAAUACAAUACAAUUAUAAAUAUAAAAUUAAAAAAAUUGAAUCAAGUUCAUAUAUUACUUACACAUUUCAAAUUUAUAGACUCAAAUAUUCAUAACUUCUAUCUUAAUCAAUAAUGUUAAUAUCUCAUUAGUAGAUGUAUUUACUAGCGUUAUAAAAAUUUUGAUAACAUUAUGAGUUUUAUGUAACGGAUACAAUUUGAUAUUGUUUUCUUUUAUUCUUUAUGUUUGUUUUAUUGUUCAGUCCAAGAUUUAUGAUUGUUAAUCUCAACAAUGUUGUCUUCAAAAUUCGAAACAAUAUUAUCUUUCUGAAAAUACAAUAUAUCACGAUCAUUGUACUGUAUAUAUUAAUAUUACUGUUGUAGUUACAUGAUCAGGGAUGAAACAAGUCCCUUUUAGCUCCUAGAAGGUUUAGUUUCCCUUUUAGUCCCUCUUAAAAAUUGAGGGUUUAAUUUUAAUAAUUUUAGCAUUGAUGAAAUAAAAAAGUUAUACUUUUGGCUCUUAGAGAAAAUUAUUUAUUCAAUUUAAAUCAUUUUUAACUUCUCCAAAAUUUUUCUCGACCAACCAAUACAAGAUUUUUUUACUUCACCCUUGUACAUUAUCCUUUUCUUCUUUCUAUUAGAUUUUAUUGGCUACUAGAUCUAUCAAUAUUUAAUAUAAAAAUUGUGGUUUUGAUAUUCAAAAUUAGCACACAAAUAAUUCAGAUAACGUGACUCUUUUUUUCUAAAGAUGAGAUAUUAGAAAAGUUACAUAUGUGUAAUUUGGGGAUUAUAACCCUAAUAUAUAACUUUUGCACAUUAAACUUAAUUUCUAAUUAACCCAUCAUCAAUUAGAAAUUAGUUACUAGAGUAUCUACACAUAUUUAACAUAUAUUUUAUUUAAUAACUAAAGCCCAAUAAAUCUUAACCAAUUUAGAUCACUUUUAAUUUGGGCUAAUUUUUUAUGAUAAUAAAUAAUAUGUAAUUACUAUUAUUAUAUAUGUGAUGUCUAUAUUUUUCAACAAUAUCCCACUUAGACCGCAUAUAUAUAUUAAUUACUCUGCAAUCACAUGUCAUUAUACCAAUAUUCAAAUUUAAAACCAAAUUAUUGCUUACAUAUAAAACCAAAUAAUCAUCACAUGUUUAUUACCACAGUUGCACAUAUAAUUUUGUUAAAUAUUAACCUUCUUUUAGGCCAAUCAAUAUUAACGUAACUUAAGUUACAUGCACACAACCUUUCAUAUUUUAAAACAAAAUAAUUUCAAUAACAGAGGUCACUUUGACAACUUAUUAUUUCAAUUAAGUUAUUUUAAAAUACAUAUAAAUAUACCAAUAUUCAAAUUUAAAAUUUAAAAUUUUCAUAACAAUUAAAGGUCAAAACUAAUUUUUUUAAUUGCUCUAUAAAUUCCAAAAUAAAGUUGUCUUAAUGCCACCAUCAGAACCGAAAACCUUAAUUCGACGAAUUUAAUUAAAUAAUAAUAAAUGAUGAAUUAGUCAUAGAACGAAAACAAAUUCCUUUUGCCAACUAGCCAAUUCCAUCAUUAUAGUGUCAUGACUAAUGCUUAAAAACAUAAUUCAUUUAGAUUUACACUAAAGCAUCCAACAUUAAAAUUUUCAGAGAAGAAAAACAUGGAAUAUGCAAAUACACAAACAACAAUAGGGCAUGCUCUGAGAGAAAAAUAUAUCCAGAACUACUAAUUUAAAAAAAAAAAGGAAACCAAAGAAAUAUUCUAGCAAAAACUCAAAUUCCCAAAGUGUGAAUAACAUGUUUGUUAUGGAUUACUCACUUACCAUAUGCAAAUCAUAGAAAAAAGCAAAAAAAUGGUAUGAAAAUAAGUGAUCAAAUAAGAUACACUACCCAAAGUCCCAACAAUAGUAUAUUUAUCAAAUAAACUAUAAUAACCCAGAAAAGUUCAAUAAGCCACAUCUGCAUACACACGACAUCACAAUCAUAAAAAAUCAGUAAUCCAACAGUAUAAACAAUAUGAUUGUUUGAAGUUUUUUCUUUUUAAAAGGAGAUGGAAACAAAAAUUGAAGGCACGACAAUGACUUUCGAAGAGCAUGGCAGCGACUUUAAGAAACGCUAAAUAGUUGAUAUUUAGAUGGAUUGGUACAACAAAUGUGGCUGAAAUUGCAAUAAAAAAGAGCAAAUUCGAGGGAUGAUCGACACUUAGCAGCAGUAAAUUGGAACGAAAUUAAUAGCAAUUGGCAGUGCAAGUGGACGAAAGAGUAAAAAGUUAAUCAAGAACAGCAUAAAUUAUAAACUUUGAUCCUUUAAUAGCAUAUGAAAAUGUGAAAUCAAUUUAUAUUUAUAAAACCUUAAAACUUUAAUUUAAAGAAUCAAAAACAAAAUUUUUUUAUCAAGAAUCUCAAAGAUUCAACAUAGUAUAUAAUUGAAAUGUCGUAACCAUAAAAUUUGAAAAAAACGAAUCAAUUCAAAAAAAAAUGAAUCAAUUCGUUCUCAAUGGUUCAACAUGAUGAGCUUUGAUACCACUUGUUAGAACUGUAAAAACAAGACUCAUGAUCUAUCAUGUUAAAUCAUCAAGAACAAAAUUAAAUGCGGAAGCGUACUUGAAUCCAUUGAUUUCUUGGAAUAUUCGAUCUUGUGGUUUUGAUAUUUUAAAUCAGCACACAAGUAAUUCAGAGAAUGUAGCUCUCUCUUUUUUAAAGAUGAGAUAUUAGAAAAGUUACAUAUGUGUAAUUUGAGGAACAUAACCCUAAUAUAUAAGUUUUGCAGAAUAACCCUAAUUUUUAAUCAACCCAUCAUCAAUUAAAAAUUUAGUUACUAGAGUAUCUACAUAUAUUUGACUCAUACUUUAUUUAAUAACUAAAGCCUAAUAAACCUUAAUCAAAGUUAAAUCACUUAUAAUUUGGAUUAAUCUUUUAUGAUAGUAAAUAAUAACAUGUAAUUAUUAUUAUAUAUGUGAUGUCCAUAUUUUUCAACAAUAGAUACUCUAACUGACAUAUCUAAUUAUUGUUUAUUUUAUAAUUUGUGUACUUUUAUUGUAUUUGUUAUAUUAGAUUUUUUUUUUUGUAAAUUUUGAUGCGUUGAUAAAUUGUUUUAUAUAAAUUUUAACAUGUUAAUAUAUUUUUAUCAUGUUUUUAUUAUUUUUAAUUAUGUUUUGUUUUAUUUAUUUUAUCUUGAUUCUUGUUAAUAUUGUGUAACAUAUUGAAUCUUGUUGAUGUACAUAUGUGCAUUUGGUGGUUGAUGGUGGCAACAAUUGUAACACUCCCUAACCUCGAACCGUCGCCGGAACAAAGUUACGAGGCAUUACCAGACGUAUCAGACAACUUAUGAAUAAUUCACAAAUAAAAUAAUAUUCAUAGCAUAAUUUAAUUACUAAAUCCCUAUAUUGAACUAUUCAAAUCUAAAUCAUACAUUUAAGUAAAACGGGGCUCGUUUAAGUACUCCAAUUUUAUUAUUAUUAUUAUUAUUUUAUAAAUUUCGACAGCAUUUCUGCUUAUUUUUACAUAAAACCCCCUGCAAUUAAACCGUAUUCAUUUCAAACAUAACCAAUUCAACCAAUUUAUUUCACACAUUCAUUUUCUAUUCUAAAUUGCCUUCUAAUCAACUUAAUCAAUAUAAUAUCAAUUUAAAAUUAUCAUUGUACUAAUUAAAUUGAAAUUGAUAGACUUUUUCAUUAUAAUUCGACUUGCAAUACUAAUAUUUUAAACCAUUUAUAUUCAAAACAUAAUAACCUUUAUAUACAUCCUAUGUACAUGCCACAUUACCAAAAGAAAAUAUACAUCACCAAAAGUUUGCUGAAGUCGGGUCUGGCUUUGGAUGAUGGUUCAGUACUUGACUUCUACAACCUGCGCACGGAAACAAUCGUACGCUGAGUAUGCAUAUACUCAGUGGUAUCACUAUAAUUCAGUUUAUAAUUAAAUACAUUAAAUCACACACAUACUUUUACAUUACAAUUAUCAUCACUUAAUGAACAAUUCAAUCUUUUUAUGUUAUCAUUCGAUUAUAUAUAUAUCAUUCUUAUUUCUUUAUUUCAAUUCUCAACUUUCACAUAUGCUAUAUCAUUUAAAUUUAGUUUUAUCAGUAGAUUUAUUUCAUUUGUCCCUAUUAACUUGACUUGGACUCGGCAGAUACAUAGAUUCCAACCAACACACCAGUACGGCACAAUGUGCCUUAACGGUACACAGUACCUAAUCAGUAAUCAGUAACGGUAGCAGUAGCAGUAACAGUAACAGUAUUCAACACACAAAGUGCUGAAUCUGUAACAGUAACGGUAUUCGACACACAAAGUGUCGAAUCGGUAACAGUAACGGUAAUAGUAACAGUAGUCGGCACAUAAGUGCCUGAUCAGUAAGCCGACAAAAACUCGUACUCUUCCAUAUCCUAUGGCAUGCCAACUAUAUCCGACUAGCCCGACUAGUUAAUAGGGUAUUUAAAUUAUUUUUCAGUACAAUUUCCAUUUCGAUUCAAUAUUAAUUAUAAUUUAUUAUUUUGAUCAAUUUUCACAGUAAUUCAGUAAUUCACUUCAUUAGAAAUUUUACAGUUCAAUGCAAUAUACGUAACAUUAUUCAGUAAUUUCUCAGUUCAAUUCGGUAUUCAAAACAAUAUUCAGUAUCCCAUAAUUCAGUUCAGUAUCAAUCUCAAUUUUAAUACCCAAUCACAAAUUUUAUCAGUUCAUUAAAUACUUACCUUAAAAAUACUUACCACACAUUCAUAUUAAAUUAAACACAUAUUAAUUAUAAAGAUUGGGUUAUAGUGAUACAAACCAGAAUUCUCUUCGGAUUUAAUCCUCGACGAUCUUUCAUUUUCCUUUUUGGGCCGAUGCUUCAGGCUCGAUAUUAGCUACGAACAAUUAAAAUAAUUUCACAAUUAUUAGCAUAACACAAUUUAAACGCUGAAAUUUUUAUCUAACUUUUACUUUAAUUCCAAUUUAAUCCCAACUAAACCUAUAUAUUUUUCUUUCUCAAUUCAUACCUUUUUGCUACUCAAUUUCUUGCCAAACCCACAUCUAACUAUUUAAUUUUUAUCAUAUUUUCAUAAUUUCGAAUUUAUUUCAAUUUAAUCCCUAAAACUCAAAACUUAUAGCUUAGUUUACAAUUCAAUCCUUUAUUCAAUUCUAACUUAAAAUUUAUUCAAUUAAAUCCCUAAUUCAUUAUUUUGCUCAACAUGAACUAUGUUCAAGAACCUAAAAACUUUCAAAAGCUUAACUUAAUUUCAACAAAACUUUGUUCUAAAGCUUCUAAAACAUCAAAAUUAACUAAAAAGGACUUAAUUGACUUACCAAUCAAAAUUUCAAGCUUCAAAUCUCUAAUUUUUCCUUUUUCUUUCCUAUUCUGUUUGUUUAGUUUCUAUUUAUUUUAUGCUUUAUCUUUUUUUUUUUACUUUAUUUAAUUUAUAUUAUAUUUAAUUAAUAAAUAUCUAUUUAAUAGCAAUUAUAUAUAUAACAAUUGUACACACACAUGUUUUACAUUUGUCCAAUAUCACCACCCUACAUUUGUCAUAAUUUUAUUUAAUUAUCACAUAAAAUCUUAUUUUAUAAUUAUUUAAUUAAUAAAUAUCUCUUAAUUAUAAUAUAAUAAAUAAUAAAUAUCUACUAAUUUAAAUAAAAUAUUAUAAUUGUAUAAAUAUUAUCAUUACAUAUGUAUAUUUUUAUCACCAUACACUUGUCAUAAUCAUACUUUAUUUAUCAUAUAAAAAAUCUUAUAAUAUAAUUAUUUAAUUAUCAAUAAUUUAAUUUAAUCUAAUUAUCUAUUACUUUAAUAUUAAGUAAACAAAUUAUUUUAUAACAAGUACACAUGUAUCUAUUUAUUACAAAUAUACCAAUAUUUUUAUUACCAUACAAUUCUCUACUAUUUAAUUUAUUUAAUAAUAAUACUAAUAAUAAUAUAAAACCAUAACAAUUAAUAAUUAUAAUAAUCAAUUAUACAAUAUUAUAUAAUAUAUAUAUAUAAUCUAAAUAAAAUCUUAGAUUUUUUUUAAUACAUUUAUGCCGCCUCAACCAUUACUUAAUGGCAUAUUUCCCAUUUUGACCCUUUUUACUUUCUAUUGUUUUAGAAUUAAACUUUUACAUCUUAUUCAAUUUAAUCCUUUUCGCUAAUUACUCUAAAUUAAGCUAAAUUUACUUAAUUAAAACCUAAUUAGACACACCACUAGGCUCAUAAAUAUUUUUAAUAAUUAUUUUCAUACUUAUUUCACUAAGAUAGAGGCCCGAUAACACACUUUUCCGGUGCCCAGGAUUUUGGGUCGUUACACGCCUGAAGGCCGAAAAAAUGAUAGAUGGAUGAAGAUUGAAGGUGUUUUAAGAGUAUGAGAGUUGUAGGUGGUCUAUUAAAAGAGGCGUAGUGGAGCCUUACGUUUCCCUUGUUUUUCUCUUGUGUUGAGAAUGAGAGAGCCCCUUAUAGAGUAACAAAGAAAGGUAUAUAUAUAGCCAUCAAGUCUUUUAAGACAAGUGCGUAUCGCAUAAUGGCCAUGUGUAGUCGUAUAUAGCUUAUGUGCCCGUAGCCAUACAACAUUUGGCAAAGUGAGAUGUUAAGAAGGUCAUCUCUGAAGUUGACUGAGCAAGGUCUCUGUGUGUGGUGGUUGACUUGGCGAGGUCUUCCAAGCAUGGUGGAGAUGUAUAACAAUAGCCCUUUUUGUUGAAGGGAAAAAUAUAUAAAGUGACCUUGCUUAAAACAAAAAAAGUGUUGAGAAGUCUUUGUACUAAGGGAGUCUUUGCGUUGUUAGGAAGGUGCUUUUAAUAAGGUCUUGUUGAUAUAAAGAGAUUCUUUUUAGCAAAAACUUAUGCAUAGUUCUAUUUGUAAAAUCGAGAAAAAUACCAUAAAGUUUGUAAUUUGAUUGGUCUUGCAAAACUUAAAAGGGUCAAUUAAAAAGAUGUUAAGCUUAAAAGGCUGAACUACCUUGAAGGCAAGUGAACUUAAUGUUGGAUUUGGUGUUUUAAGUGUAGUAUUUUCAUCAAUAAACACUUGUAAUUUUUUGAACAAAUUGAUUAAUAAAAUAAAUUAUUGAUUACAAUUAAUAUACUUUGUAUUAUUGUUCUCAAAUAGUUUUUACCCGCAAAUCAAAUAUUGUUCAUUGAUUGUCUAAAAAGAUUUUUAAAAAAUUUAAUUUAAUUUAAUUAAUUCAUAAAUUAUUCUUAAAAUGCACUAUUAAAUAAGUUUGAGAUUCAAAAUUAAUAUCCCAAUUCAUUUUUUAAUCUCAAACAACAAUGAUAAUAUUUAGAUUAUGACGCAUUUUCGAUGUGAAUAAAAAAUUAUUAAUAAAUUUAUAAAAAAAAAAGUUAAAAAAAAAAGCGCUCUAGAUGAAAUGAUAAAAUAAAGUUUAUAGAUAUAAUGAAGUCUUAAAUUUAAAUUCAAUUCACUAUUAUGCACAUGUCUUCAGGCGACACAGAUGGGAGUAGAUUUGGGACUCCAAUGGAUUGAGAUGGAGGGAGAUGCUCUCACAAUAAUAAAAAAAGACAAAUAUCAACACGAGAGAUGAAUUAGUGAUUAAUGCCUACAGUUUUCCAUACCGUUGUUUCUCAUGCAUUGCAAGAGAAAGAAAUGGGUUGGCUCACAUCUUAGCAAUAGAGGGUUUGGAGAGGAAAGAGCAAAUUUAUCUAUUAGAAGUGUCGUUGUUUGCAAGGAGGAAAAUGAAGGAGGAGGGAAUCUUAACCUAUCGGGGAAGCAUUGGGCAAAACGACAAUCAAUUCUUUAGGAAGCUGAAAUGGAAAUGAUAAAGAUGAAGAGAGGAGGCUUCUCAGGGUCAAAUCAAGUGGGUAAUUAGGGGUUAAUUGAGGGCCCUAGAAUACCAUCGAUUUUAGUGGUUUUCAGAACGGAUGAUUUUGUUUUAGUUAAUUUCUUAUUUUCUUCUUUGAUUAUUAUGUAGUUAAGAUUUUAUUACGUUUGUUUCUUUAAUUUUGUCGACUCAUUUAAUAAAUCAUUUCAAAAAAUAAAUAAAUAUAAAAGAUAACAUUACUCUAAUAUUUUUUUUAAAUAAUUUAGUAAUUAAGUUAGAAAUACGACUAAUAAAUAAUAGUAAUUAUAAUUAAAACAAAUCUUUGAGACGACAAGUUCACCAUGAUUAAUCGUGGGAGCUGGAAUGCUAAUGAUUGUACUUGUAUCCUUUUUUUUAAUUAAGGUUUACAUAUAUUUAUCAAGACCUAUAUAUAUUUUAUUAUGGAUUUUGUUAUUUUUUUAAUCUUAUAAAUAAAAUCAAAGAUUCAUUCAUGAAAAUUCUGUCUCUUGGCUAAAGAGUGAGUCUAAUCCUGAUCUGUUGUACUAGAAGAUUGAAGACUUUGUCUUUUGGCAAAAGCUGCAAUGAUAAACAUUGCAUUAAGGGAACAUAUUAUAUUUUUAAAUAAAAUAUUCAACCACCAUAAUCUGUAGUUAUUUGCUUACAUGUUCGAGAAUGGCGGUCCAAUCUUACAUUACUGCCUCCCUUGGUUUGGUAAUGUUCUCCACAACUGAAAACUAAUAAUUAUGAUUAAAUUUAAAAUUUUAUUUUAAUCAAACCAUUCUUUGAAUUAUCAUUGCUACAUAUACAUGGUUAAGAUUAUGGCAUAUACCUCAUAUAUUUAUUUUAAAAUAUAUUUUAACACCAUAUAUCACACAUAAAUUAUGUUUUAAUUUUUCUUAUAAUCGUAUUUGUUUUAUUAUUUAAAACUAAUCAUGUCCAGACCAAAUAAUCUAAAUUUAAACUCUAAAAAAAUAAAUUAAAAUCCUAAUUAAAAAAAUUCAAAUAUAAUUAAGAUUAUGAUAUAUAUCUUAUUUAUUUAAAAUAUAUUUCAAAGGACACAUAUAAUGUGUUUUUUUUUGUUAAUCACAGUUAUUUUUAUCCAUUUUACAAUGUGGAAUUAUUUUUAUUCCAAUGAAAAAAUAUUCAAAUAAAAUUUUUAAUAAUUAUAACUCUAAAAUUCAAUUUCAUCCAAAAUUCACUCUACUCCUCCCAAUGUACUACCAUAUUUGUUUACUUUGUAAAAACUUGACUUGGCCCAAAUUAAAAUAAAUAAAUAAUUUUUUUUCAAAAUUUAAUUAUAAAACAUCUAAGUAUUAAGAUAAAAUAAUUGUUUAUGAAAUGUAAUAAAAAAAAAACUUUUAAUAAACCAAAUAAAAUAUGUAAUCAAUGAUGAGGUGGUGGUGUAUGAUCCACCUAUUAUAAUUAUUGAUAUUGAUAGGUGGCUCUGCCGGUGUGCGACAGCUAUAUACCCUAAUGCCUAUGGCAUCAUGUCUUUGACCAUCCUAUUGUACGAAAAGAAAAUGAAACCCUAAAUAAAAUGUCAAUUAUUCAUCUAAUUUUACUUUACCCCUUAGAGAAAAUCUUUGCAUGCGGGUGAUCCGAUCGCACGCAAAUUUAUACGGAUUUGGAGAGAGAAACAAAGUAACAAAUGCCUAUUCUUUUUAUGUCAAGUGCUGGUGAUUCCUCUUAUUAUCAACAAAAAGAAAAAGUUAAAUUUAAAAUAUAUAUAUAAAAGUAAUUUAAAUUUUUUUAUUAUGUACGUAAAUAAUUUAAAAUGAAUGAUAAAUGUGGAUAGAGUAAAAAAGAUUGAUGUGUUAAUCAAUUGAUUUAGCGUCACCUGUAUAAAUAUCACCUCUAAUAUCAAUAUUUUCGUUUAUUUCAUAGGACAUAAAAUAAAUUUUGUGGAAGAACUAAUCUAUUUGGUGUGACCAAUGAUAGAAUAGCGGUGGACUAACGGCAACAUGGUGGUCAUGUCAUUCUCUAUGGCAUUACUGAAUAAAAAAAUAAUUUGAGUUAAAAAAAAUUAAAAUCACUUUAAAAAAGUCUGACACAAUAAAAGUGGUGACACCAAAUUAUUUGGCUCUACCAUUAUUCUACCAUUGGUUACUCCAAAUAGAUUGACUCCUCCACAAAAUUUAAUUUAUGCCCCACAAAAUACACAAAAAUAUUAGUCUUGGAGGUGAUAUUUAUAAGGGUAACGUUAAAUACAUUGACUACUCCCAAAAAAUUAAUUUUUUAAUUUUAGCAGCCAAUGAUUGGUUGACGUGGUAAGUGACUUCCGUCAAUCUCUUUGGCUUCACUCACUUUCAUUAUUCAUUUCAGGUUAUUUAUAUACAUAAAAAAAUAUCAUUUUUAUAAUUAAUAAAAAUUUUGAAUUAUUUUUAUAAAAAACCAAAAAAAAUACUUAUAUUUUAUCCAUACAUUUAUAUAGAUAAGAUAAAUGUAUAUUGAAAUUAAACAACCAAAACUUAUUUUCAAAAGAAAAAGGAAAACCUAGUCGAAAGUUGUUUGGAGCAGCACGUAACCAAAGGGACAAGCAGCGACCUUGACCCCUUGACUUAAUGGUGUAAUUAUAAUUUUAGUGCCUUUAAUUCCUUUGAACUUUUAUUUAAUUGGAACAACUACAAUUUUAGCCUCUCUCUUUUUUAAUAAUUUAAAAUUUAAUUUAAGUCAUUUUAAUAUUUACAAAUUCUUUUUAGCUUAGCCCCUCUCCAAAUUCUUGUAAAAUGAAGCAAUUUAAAGAUGCCUAAAUCAUGCAUGUAACGAGGCGUUCUAAUAGAUGAUAUCGAAUCUUGUGAAUUAUAUCAUAUUGACAAUGAUAUAUUUGACUAAGAUUUCUAUGGAAACACUUUUAAUGAUUUUAACUUCCAUAUUAAAUGUGCAUCAACACUUUUUAGGAAGUGAUAAUUAUUUAAAAAUAAAUAAAUUAAACUGUUUAGUCACGUUAGGAUCGUAUUUCACUACAAGAUAAAAGAAUUUUUCUUAUAAAUAUCCCCUCCAAUAAUAGAGAAAGGAUCGAAACUUGUUUUUUUUCCUUUUGAGCACUUACUUUUCUCAAUAUUUAAUUGGCCUCGGCCCUCAUGUCUCUUCUAACUCUUCAUUUCUUUAAGUGAAUCGAACUCUUUUAAAUUACUACAACUUUCCUUUUUUAUCUCUUCCUUAUUAUAUAUUUGUAUCAACAAUUUUAUUGUAUUAAAUUUGUUAUUUGAAUGAAGACAAAUCUGCCUAAAGAAAAAGUUGAUUCCAUGACUAAUGUAAUUGGAACUUAACCUUGGGACACAAAUAUAAUCCAAUUUUUGAACGAAUCUAAUCACAUAUGAAAAGUGAUUUACUGUGCAUUGUAAUACUUGAUUAAAUAUAGUAUUAUUCAAGUAACUUUAGAUGCUUUUUAUGCAUAAUAAUUCAUAGAUAUCUUGGAGAAAAUUCAAUCAUCUUUUCUUAUUUUUUUGAUUAUCAAAGUAUCCAGAAAAAUGGGUCCAUACCGCUAGCUUAGGUCAAAAAGAACAAAUGCCAAUAGCAUGUGUAUCUACAUCAUGCAACUUUUAAUUCGGAAGAAAUAUAUCAAAACAAAUUAAAAUUUAUAUUAUAUUUAGAGGUAUUUUAUACUAUAAAUAUGAAUAUAAAUAUUAUUUAUUUACUUUAUUUUAUAUGCGUGUGGUAUCAUGAUUUUUAAUCUUUAUUUUUCGAUACAAUGUCUAGAAUUAAAAUAAUUAAAAUAAAAGAAUAUUGCGUUUCAGGUACUCAUACUUACGUCCUCCCGGAUUAAUAUUAUUUUGAAAAAGUUGAAAGGUGAAAAGUAGAGUGAGAAGUUGUUGAUCAUCAACUUUUUGAUGAAAAGGGUAACAACCGCUAGUUGAUAAUUUGAAUCACAAUUUUAGCUGCCAAUCCAGUAAGCUGACAACGAAUAAAGAAAACCAUGUAAAGUGAAAGCAAUUAGACAUCGAGUAACUAUAACUUUAUGAAAAUUGAGAAAGUGAUCUAAUUAUAGGUCAAUAUAUGAAUUUGAACCGUUAUUUUUUCUAACUUAUUAUAUAUAAAUGAUUGAUCGAUUGAUUUUUAGUAAUUCCUUAGUUAUAAGUUAUUAAACUGCUAAUUUACAAGAUAACGAUAUAAUAAUAAAUUUUAAUAGUGUUACUUAAUUAAAAUAACUUUUUAAUUUUCAUAAUGUAAGAGAGCCAAAAUUUGACGGAAAAAAUUUCAACUUUCAUAAAGUAAAAAAGAUAAAAUUUGGAAUUAAAACUCUUAUAAGAUUCAAAUAUUCACCAAAUUCUAAUACUACUUUUGGAAUUGGGUAAUAGUAACUAAAGGAUUAAAGGAACUUGAUCUUUCGAGAAUUCAAGUUCGAAACUUUUUAAUGAUAGGGAUUAUAAUGUUGAGAGGGACAAUCCGAAACUUUAUAAAGAUUAAUUUUCAUAAAUUUUAAAAUAAACAUAGAAAUACUUUAUUUAAAAAAAAUUACAAAUAUUUAGCCCUAUGUAUCCCUAAACAAAAGCCUCUGUCUCUUUUAGUUAGGAUUAAGCAAGAAAAUCGAAAAAUGACCUGAGGAGUUUGGAUGGAUUAUAGAAUUUAAAUUUAAAAUCCAAGUUUACUGAGAUCGAGCUGAAUUCUAUAUUUUAUUUAAUAUAUAAUUAAUUUUAAAAUUUAUGAUGUAAUAAAAAUUAAAUAUUUCAUAUUUAAAAUAAUGAAAAUAAUUUAAAAGUUUUAGAAAAAUUAGCAAAUAAUAUUAAAAAUUAUAAAGCAAAAAUUUAUUUUUAUCAAAAUAAAUCAAAAAAUUCAAAACCAAAAAUUAAUAUGAAAAAUAUGAGAACUUAACCGGGACAAACUGAAUUAUAAUAGAUAAUUAAAAGAACUCAACCGAACCCUACUUUUGAUUAAUCAAAGGUGUUGUUGAAGAACUUAAUUCAAUAUUUAGAAAAAGAAAUCACAAAAAAUAAAAAAUAUGACUUGGCAGUGGGGAUAUUGGUGUAAGUGUGUAAAUGUGAAAGGAACAGCCUGAUUUUGUAUUAUUUAUACUCCAAGAUUGCUGCAUAUUUGUUCAACCUUAUUCCAUUUUCGCAAGCUUUUAUUUAUUUUUGGGUCCACACUACAACCCAUGUGAUUGCCUACACAAUGUUUGACUGCUCUCCUUCUUUUCUUCUACACCUCCAUAAAAAAAUAAAAAUUCCGGUCCCUUUUUGUAACAUUCUUUUUCUCCUUGACUUCAUUUUUUUAAUUACAAAUUAUUAUAGUGUUAUAUUUUCUUUUGGUUGUCCCGAUAUGAGCGGGUGUAUCAAUUUCUGGUACUUACUCCAUGGGGUGUUUAAAAUUAUGAUACUCCACCCCCAUCCCAACUUUACCUUUUUUUACCCAUAUUAAGAUUCACAAAAUCUAGUUUCCCUUUUUCUUUUUUACUUCUUAUAUGUGUUUUAUUAUAAAAUUUUGGUUUUAUUCACAAUUUAACCCUUAAACUAUACUAUUUUUCUCACUCUAAUACCUAAACUUUUUUGACCCGUUUUGAUACUUAAACUUUACUUCCUUUCACUAGUUUAGCCCUUUAACGUCGUUAAAAUCUAAAUUGAUCAUUAACUUGGUCUAAUUAAAACGUGCCAUAAGUAAUUUUUUCAUGUAAGCAAUCUAAGUGGAAUUGUUCAUUAAAUUAAUGAGAAUUCGAAAAAAUUAAUUAAAAAAAUUGAAACAAAAAAGAAACAAGAAAUCGAUAUUUCUUUGUUCAUCUUCUAUCAAUAUUAAUAGACUUCUUUUUCCGUUGCUAAUUAUUUUAUAUUGAGUGUAUCUACUGUCUGUUCAAAUUCAUGAAUCUUAUUCUUCUUCUUUCAUUUAUAUGUUAUUGUUUCUUUUUUAUAUGAUUUUUUUUAUCGAAAUUAGGGUAUUCAACACCAAUAGUAAUGAUUAAUUACAUGGUUGUGAGUACUCAAUAAAGAAGUAAAUGGUUGGCCAUGAAAUGUAUUUUUUUUCUACGGGUGAGGAUUAAACCCCAAACCUCAUGAUUUAAGGGAUGAUGUGGUCAACCACCACACCACACAUUGUAUGAUUUGCUACUUUGUUUUAUUGUUUCAAAUGAGAUUGUUUAAUUUAUAUUACUUGAUUUUAAAUUUAAUUGAAUAACUAAAUUUGAGCUAAAACUUUACUAGAAUAGUAGCCAAAGUGUCAAUUGACAAUUUUUCCUAGUUUUGGUCCAUGUUGUACCACAUCAUCACUUUAAAAAAAUUAUAUUUUUUAAUAAAAAAUUUAUGUGGUGACAUGACACAAUCUUAGGGUGAUAUGUCUUCACAAGAGACUAAGAUUGAGGACUAAUAUGGAUAAAAAAUAAAUUUAGGAUCAAGUUGGAAAAAUUAUCAAAUUUAGUGACUAAAUGUUACAUUAUCUUAAAAAAACAUAAAAAUAGGAAAACACUUCUUUUUCAUAACGAAAAAUCCUUAGUUGCUCAACUUUAAAAAAAAAUAAAAAUUGUUUGAGUUAGGAUUUGUAUCUAGACUCUGUGUUUGACUUUGUAUGACCCGAACCUCUCUUCGUGGGCCCAUUUGGUUGUGAUUUAGGACAUUUUCAUUUGCAUAAUGUGAACUUUAUAGCUAAUCCUCGUAUAUACUUAUAAUUUCUAUGAAAUGUGUUGGGAUUGUCUGAGUUGCUCCAACAAUGUAAUGUGACGUCAUGCAUUUGGAUUCCGUGAUUGGGUCAAGUGAGGAGCGUUACAUUUAUAUAAAAAAAUUCAGUAAUUAGAUACAUGUUAAUAAAGUCUCUAAAUCUCUUUGUACAUUUAAAUUUUAGUCUCUUAUUUCUAUUUCUAGAAAUUUAGUCCCUUAUUUAAAAAAAAAAGUCUUCCAUUUUUUAGAUUUGAAAAUGCAAAUCUAAUUGUUAAAAGUGCCAUAAUUCUUUUGUUAUAUUCAAAUCCAUUAUAACGAUUUUUUUUUUGCUAUAUGGUUACCAAGUAUUUUUUUUCUAAAAUGUCACAUGAUAAACUUUGCAAAAGAAUUUUAAAAACGUUAACAAUUGUAUUUGAAAUUUUAAAUCUAAAAAGUAAAAAGAUAAAUUUUUAGAAAUAAAAGUAAAAAUACAAAAUUCUAAAUCUACGAAAAGUAUAAAGAUUUGGAGCAUACUUUAAACUAUUUUGGGUGCAAUACCAUACAUCUAUUCAAAAUUUUAUAAAAUUAUAUUUAAAAAUUAAACAAUUAAAUUAUUAAAAUAUUAACUAUAUAAAUUACAAAAAUAUGUAAAAACUCAUUUAAUUUUACAAACAAAUCCUUCUCCCAUGUAAAUAGCAUCCACAUAAAAAUCUGAUGGAAUCAAUUGUCAUCUCAUUUUUUCAUUGAUAUGAAUGGGUACAAAUUUGAUGGACCCUAAACAUUUUGGGUGGUGAAAUUGAACCGUCAAAAAGGUGUGGUGAGCGGGGGCAAAAGAACAUACGACGUAAGCCCUUUUGCUACAGCCUUUGGGUACAAUAUCGAGGGACCCUAAAACUUUUGGUGAAUGGGAGCAAAAGAACAUGCGACAUAACCUCAUUAUCAUUCAAUAAUUGGUACUACAAUGAAAGACAAUUUUUUAAGAGUAACUGUGUAUUUAAAUAAGUUUUUAAAUUAAAUUGGUUUUAUUUUUAAUUAUUUUUAAGAUUAAUUGUGGAUUUCAAUUAUCAUCUGUCAUGCAUGUAAAUUAAUUAAUGGUACAAUGAUAAUUGAGUAUAUUUUAGUGCCAUGAGCUCCAUUAAUGGUUAUUCAUCAUUUUUAUUUUAAUUAUUAGGGUUAUAUUAUAUGAUUUUUGUUGAGUUUUCUUUUUUGCGUAUUCUUUUAGAUGGGUUAAUUUUACGUAUUUAUAUGAUACCGUUACUGUUUAUAGAUAUGACAUAUUAAGUAAGUUUUCAUGUAUGAUAGCACAUCCCCUACUUUAAGGUUAACAUGUGUUUACUUAAAAUGGAUUUGCAUACACAAGGUUCGCACCAUGUGUAGGCGAACCAAUAUUUCAUGUUUUUAUUUAAUGCUCGCCCAUAUGGAGCGCGGGUCAAGACACGUCCUCAGUGGAUUGGUAAUAAUUAGUAUAAUAACAAUUUUAAUUAUUACAAAUUUUAGAAUAUUUAUUCAAAUUAUUUUAGGGUGUUUUACUUUUUAGAGCAUUGCCCUAUAAAUAUUUGGCUUGGGCAACUAACUAAUAAAUUUUUGUUUGGCUUCAAUUCAAUUGUGAUUCAAGAUCGUGGUGUUGUUCUUCAAACUUCAAUUUGCAUUCUAAUUUGAUUGAUUGAUUUUCAGAAUCCUUCCAUCGAGAUUCGGCCAACAUACUUCAUUCAAUACCCUUAGUCGAAUUUAUCAUUUCACUCCUCCAUUUUUUAUUGUAGUUUCUUUUUCUCCUAGUUAAACAUAGACUAUUUCUGAAGAAGAUGAGCACCCGAUUAAUAAGCCAUAAUUUGAAAUUAAGUUGCAACUAAAGAUACAAUUGAAAGAGGAAAAUGGUAAUGAUGCACAUGACGAUUGGUUACACAGUCCGAAACCUUUUUAUACAUACGUUAACAAAAAUUAAUUCAUUAUGAACUAAUAAUGUAAGUCAUGAUUUAAAUCGAAUUCAAUCACCAGCUACAGCCUCACUUCUAUACUUAAAUAAUUUGUUUGCACAAAGUAUUAGUCCUAAAACUAAAUACACUACUAAAUUACGCAACAAUUGAUUUUUAACAAUACAUAAAAUAAAAAGAGAUUUCCUGCACUUAAACUUUUAAAAAAUCAUCUAUCGGAUAUGAUAUUUAUUGAAAAGGUAUUAAUUCAAAAACCUCAAUUAAUUAAAAUCAAUUACAAUCUCAUCUAUUACUACUCAAACCUUAAUAGAGAUGUAAGAGAUCCAACAAGAUUUUCCCCAACCCGCAAUGUGAACAUUUACUUUCCUUAAUUAACUCGAGCAAACUUGGGAGGACAGACAAACAACCUAGGACAAAGAAAUGGACAGACAUUAAGCAACCUAAGACAAAGAAAAUGACAGACAUUAAUCCACCUAAAUAAUAAUGAUGAUGUGUUGGAGUUAUCCUAGAGACAAGAGAGCAAAUAAUACAACUGUUUAUCCUCAAUUACAAAGGUGGCAACAAAGAAUAGACCAAAUUCCUAAUAAAUGGUUGAUUAACAGCCUGUAUUUGUACACUUUUUCGAUCACCCAUCUACUCUUAUGAUUUUAAUAAAAUGUGGUUGUCAACAAAGUUUAGUAAAAAAAUUAUAUUAUCUAAAAAUAUAAUGAUAAUUUAUGAAUUUAUUUUUAUUGAAUAAAAUAUAAUAUUCAUGUAUUUAAUUUUUAUAAUAAAUUUUAUUCUUAAUAAAUAUUUGAAUUAAAUAUUUAAUAAUAAAAUUUAAUUGAUAAUUCUUAAAUUAUUUUUAAUUUAUAAUUCUAAUUGAAAGUAAAAUAAUUUCAAAUUUAUUUUAGAGCAAAUUAAAAAAAAAAAAGUACUUGAAAUCCCAUUUUGUUUUAACUAAAGGAUACUAAUAGGAUUAUAAACAAAGUAAUUGAUUCUAGGUAUUGUUGUGAACAAAAUAAUUAAAUUGUAGGAAUGUAAAACCAUAGGCGACCUAUACAAUUUAAUUGGAACAACUCUACACAUGUUUUACAAAAAAUAAUACGUAUUUCAUACAAAUACUUUAAUCUUCUUAUUGAUUUAGUGUUACAAAUUAAUUGGACAUCAAUUCAGUUUGAAAAAUAUGAAAAAUUCUUCUUUAUUUAAAAUAAGUUAUAUUAUUACAAUGAUAUUUUUAUGUUUUUCUAUUUUUCAGAAAACCAAUAAAAAUUUGCUAAUCAAUCCAUACCACCAACAUCAACAAAAUAUCAACUAACUUCACCACUUCAACUAGAAUUUUAUUUUGGAUUUUUUUAUACAUCUCAAUAUUAUUACACAAACUUUUUUCACUCACAUAUAUUGAUUGUCAUUAAUUGAGUUGCUUUCAUAAAUCAACUCGACACCAACUCAAAAUUGAUGAGAGUUUUUUUUUAAAUGCAAGUUACUACUCUAUAUAAGAUUCAAUUAUUAAAUAAAAUAUUGGGUAAACUGCAAAAAUAGUCACUUUUGUUUGCUUCAAAUUACAUUUUAGUCACUUAUGUUUGAAAUGUUACGUUUUAGUUACUUACGUUAUCGUUUUGUUUCGAAGUGGUCACUCUACCGUUAACCUCCCUAACGACGAUCCUAUAUGGCAGUCCAAAUGGGUUUUAAAUGCCGACUUAGAUGUCCUAUGUGGCAGUCCAAAUUAAAUUUAAUUAAUUAAAAACAUAUUUUUAUCCCAAUAACUGAACAUCUAAGUUGGCAUUUAAAACCCAUUUGGACUGCCACGUAGUACUGCCAUUAGGGAGUAACGAAGUUUAAUGGUAGAAUGACCACUUCGUAACAAAACGAUAAUAUAAGUGACUAAAACGUAACAUUUCAAACAUAAGUAAUUAAAAUGUAACCUGAGUCAAACAAAAGUAACUAUUUAUAUAGUUUAUCCUAAAAUCUUUUAUACCCAUAUUGAUGUUGAAUUAUUCUUUCACCAACAUAAUGACAUUUUGAUAAUAUGUUAAAUAAUGCUAUCUAACAUAAUACCAUUUUAACACGCUAUAGAAAAAUGGCAAUACAAGCCAAAAAGCAAUUGGAGUACAUUUACUAUUCUUAAUCACAUAUAUUUACCUAUUUUACUUUAUUUUUACUCACAAUUUUAAUUAAAUUUUAAUUUAAAUUUCUUACAUAUUGCACAUAUGCUAUUAUUAGUUUCAAACCACAUGUUUCAUUAUUUGUUAUUUUUAAACUCAUUCAUAUGUUCUAAAUGUGUGAUAUUCACUCGCAUAUACAUCUGAUGCAAUUGCUAGUAUAAAUUAAAACAUUUUUAUUAAAAUGUAUAAAAAAUAAUAUAGGAUAUUUUUUUUAUGUGUGUGAGAGGGUAUAACAAAUUUUCAAUUAUUGCACCUUUAUUCUAUUACAAUUAAUGACUCCAUUAAAAAUUACAUCAGAUGUUGACGUGUCAACUCACUUGAUGAUCUAUGUAUUUUAUUACUAUUACAAUAUUAUUUUAUUUUAUAUAUCAAGUCUGUAAAUAAUUUAAAAUUAAAAAAAUAAAUUAUAAAUAAAAAAUAAGUUAAUAUAUUUUAAUAUUCUUGCACAAUUAAGUUAAUAUUUAAGUUGUUGUUUUUAACUUUGAAGAGUUUUUAAAUUUGUUUUCAUAAUAUUUUUUGAAUUUUUGUAAUUUUUUUAAAAAUGUUUUUAAAAUUAUUUUGCAUUUCUAUUUUUUUAAAAAUUAAUAUCUUUUUUUUUUGGAAAUUUGACAAACUUCUAUAAUCUUUUACAUUUUUUGUUAUUUUAAUUUGAAGGAGAUUUUCUCAUAAUUUUUGAAAAAUUUUAUUUACAGUUUUUUGAACUUUUCUAAUUUUUUUUUUUUGAAUAUUUGUUUAUAAACUUUAAAUUAUGUUUUAACUUGACAUAUAGAGCAACAUAAUAUCAUGUCACAAGGUUGUGGUCUAAUUUAUUCCAAAUAAAAGAGAGAGGCUGAGUUGAAUAAAAGUGUAAAAAGCAAAAGCUAAAUUUAAUAUAUCAUGGCUUAUAUAUAAAAGGCCGAAAAAAGCCCAUAAUGACACGAUCAAUCUUGUGACUCAGAUUCUGGGUUUGUCGAGCAUUGAUUCUGGUUACCUACCACACCAAUCAUAUUGACAUUCGAAACAACUACAAGUACUAUCAGAUAUACCUUACCAUUUAUGAAGGAAUACAUAUUUAAUACCAUUUUUGAAUUACCCCUUGAAUUGGUACAAGGUUUCUGUGCUUUGAGCUGUUUUUUAUAUUUCCACACGGAGGACAGUAAAGCCAAGACAACAUGCAUGAUGCCUUUUUUUUUUUUUUUCUACUUCAAAUGCAAUAUCACUUCUAUCGUACACUCCACAUUCCUACGAACAAAAUAUGUCUAAUUAGCUUCAUCUUACUCACCGUCUUGUUAUGCUGAAAAGACAACCUUCACUCAUCUUCUACUCUCAAGUGUUACUUUGACCCUUUAUUCUUCUUCUUCUUCUUUUUUAAGUAUCUGUGUCUGAAUUUUGCAUUGGUACAAAGAUAACUUUUAAAAAACUCAUGCAUGGAAAAGUUAAAAUUAAUUUUGGACAUAUUUAAUUACACAGACACUCAUAUCCAACCUUUUCAUUAUCCAGAAAUGAAACUGACAUUAUCUUGACUCAUCAUCAGCAAGAGAAGUCACGAUCAACUGGGACUUUGCUUGUCGAUCGAGAUAAAUUAAUAUGAUUUUACUGCUUAAAUAAAUCACCAUGUCAAAAUUGACAACUCUGCAUAGCAAUGCAAAGACUGUCUUCAAGGUGUGGGAAGAGAUAUUCGAACACUUGAAACUACACUAUGGUUCGUCUGACAAAACCUAACAACAACAUCACACCGUGUGAAUCAAGUAAGCAAAUAUAGCAACAUGUCUCAAAACUAACAAUCACUUAGUUGAAUUCGAAAUAGUUAUAAGCACUCCCCAAAAAUAAUAGUUUCAAGAAAAGAGACAAAUAACAUACUAACAAAAAUAACUCCCCCCUCAACAGAGCAUUUGCCGCAUACAUUACUCUCCCUUUUUGUAGCCUCAGGGUUUUAGCUGUCAUUGUAAUAUCCAGAUUCUCUGCGUUCUUUUGCAUGCUAAACACCAGAUUCAACAAUAGACAUCACAUAUGUUUCAACAUAUCAAAAUUUUGAGUCCUAUCAAAAUACCAUGCAUUAACUCAGUCCAACAAAGAAGAACAAAAAUUGUUCUUACAACUCUUCAAUAAAGACAGAUGUGCCAACAUCAGCUUUCACAUUAAAAGCUAUAAUUAACCUAGCAACUCAUUGACACACAUAGUACUUACGUCCUUCGCCUCUUUAAUGGUUGUCACCUUAUUUGCAAACAUCUCGAGCAAGAGAUGUAAUAUCUUUCAAACUAGUUUCACCUCAAAAUAUUACUUGCCAAGAGUUCAAGCCUCACUAGUUAUGUCACAAAAUUUAGCAUAAAGUUCAAAGAUGGGCUCAUUAUUAUCAGAAAUUCGUAAAGAUUCAAGGUAAGCUUUUAAGGUUUUGGAAGGCUGACUUUGAGAGUUACUUCAUGGAUGGUUUCAAGGAUAUUUCAAGCUUCACGAGAUGAGAUACACUUUGAAAUCUUUAUGUAUUCUUGUUGAUCCACCCCCUUUGAAAAUAACACACAGUGCUUUUGAAUUGAAAUCCGCUACUUUACCAUUUUUGGAGCAAUGAUGUUUAAACCGGACCGGCCGGUCGGCUAACCGGUCCGAACACUAGCAAAAAAUCGAUCGAACAAGGAAUUGGAAAAUCCGGCGUUUGAACCUUCAACCGAAAAAUGGGUAAAAAUCGGUCGGACCGGUUUUUCAAAAAAAAGAAGCUUCUUCAGUCUGGGCAAGCCUAAAAAAAAAAAAACCUAACUCGACAUCCACCCCCAUCCAGGCAACCACCACUCUCGUCACUCGUCCAUCCGGCCUCUCUUCACUCUCCAGUCUCCAAUCUCCCUUCAUGGCUUCACCAUCCGGCUUUCAGCCUCAGGUCUGCUUCCGUGUUCAGCCGCCUUCCAUCUACUUCUUCCGCCGCCAUCCUUGCUGAAAAAUGAGAAAGUCAGAAAGAUGGCUUUGACCUUUGGCGGCAGAGGACAAAUGAUAAAUUGAAAAGAGUCAAUGAUAGAUAUUUUCAGGUUUUCUUAUUUUAUUUUGGUUAUGGCCUAUGGGCCUAAAAUAGAUGGGCUGAUUUAGUAUUUUUAAUAAUAAUUAUUUUAUAUUAUAAAACACUAAAAUGGUCAGAUCAGUUAUCAGACCAAUUUAACCAGAUAUGAUUAGUUUAACAAUACUUUUAAAAAGUAUUUUUGAGAAGUGGUAUUGAAAAUUUUAGUUUAAAAUUUGAGUAUUUAGUAUUGUUGUCAAAAAGUAUUUUUAAAAAAAUAAAAUGUUCAUUUUUAGACAUAUUAUUAUCAAGUAAAAAAUAUGCAUUUAAAUAAUAUUUAAAUUAGUUAAUAUUAUUAUAUUUUAGUAACAAUAUAAAAAAUUAUUAUAACUUGUUAAUAUUUUAAUAUAUAAAAUAUAAAUUUUAAAUAUUUUUAAUCUAUAAAUAUUAAUUAUUUAUAAAAUUUAAUUAGAAUAUAUAAACUAUAUUUUAAAUAUUUGUAAUUAGUAUUUUAAAAAAUAUUUUUUUAUUUUUAAUUAAUGGUUUUAACACAUUUGUAAUUAAUCACCAAGAAAAAAAAGUACUAUAUUAUUAGAGGAGUGAAAAAAUAAUCAAGCAGCAAAAGUAUUUUUUGGAAAUAAAAAGCUAAAAAUUUUAACUUCUUAUUUUUAAAAGUGCUUUUAAAAAAGUUAAAAAUUUAUGUCAAAAGCAACUUAUUUAGCACAAUUUUUCUUCCAAAAGUGAUUUUUUUUAAACACUACUAAACAAGCUCUUAGUCUAAGGAGGCUUCAUUGGGUUAAAAUUAAUGUCCAUGUUCUCCCAUCAAUAGAUGGAUGAAACCCCUCAUCUAAGCUUUCAAAGGAAUACGACGAGAUUCAUCCAAGAGUGAUGAACAUAUAGUUGAAUAGCCUUCCUUCAUACCUACCUACAUGACUACUGGAUAUAAGAUCUCACCAAAUACUUUGUGUGGCUCUGGAUAAUUUAAAACCCAUCGUCAAGUAUGACAAGUGAAGUAGAGACACCUUUUGUCACACAAACAAAUAAUUGUAAAAUAAUAGGAAAAUUAAACAUAAGAAGUUAUUAACACAAUUUGGACAUAAUCUGCAUUUACGGUACCAUGCCUAAUAAAGCAAUGAUUUAAGCGUAAUAAAAACAAUCUUCGUACAGUCAUGUGCAUAAUAGAACUUUCAAGAUGGACAAAAGUAUUAUCAUAUUUACUUGUUGAUCAUCACAGAAGAAUUAUGAACAAUAUAGACUUCAAUUAUCAUUAAAGUAGUCUUCAACUAUCUUCAGUCGAAUUGCUCACUUUGAUCAGCUAUGAUAUAUUUUUUAUAUGCUUAUCAUAAUCCAUAAGAGGUGAUUGGAUCAUUAAGCACUGUAGCGACGUAAAAAUUUUAACUUAGCUUGGUCGCUAAUUGUGGCGAUUUAUUGAAAAAAGUUUGAAAUUUGACGUUUGAUUUUUGAAAUAAACAGGGAGUCGCCACCGAUCCUUUUUCCUAGGUGUGAUCGGACACCUAUUAGAUCUCUUAUUAAAACAAAUAAAGGCUGAGUUUAGGUCUACGUUAAAAUUCAGAGAAAAUUAGGGUUCGGGAGUCGGUUACGUGCGAGAAAGGUAUUAGCACCCUCGCGACGCCCAAAAUUGGUAUCUUAUAAACAUGUGUUGUCUUAGUUUUUAAAAAUACGAGUUCAAUAUAAGAUUUAAUCGUGAUCCGAUUGAAAAGACGAUAACUUUCAAUUUUUGAUUUUCGAGAAGGACAUACCGUUUUAACACGAGUCGACUGAUAUUCACCCAACAUAGCGAUGAAAUCGGCGGUUUAAUGUUAAAUCGGUAUGUUGCCUUGUUUAUUAGAAUAAAUAAAAUAAGAAACGUGAAUAAAAUAUUUUUAAAAUAGUGAAUAGCGACAUGAUACGAAAUGGGCGAGCAACAGAAAAAUAAAGGUUAGAAAUACAUCAAGGUAUAUAAAUAACACGACAAUUAAGAAUAAUGACAAUGCAUGCAAUAUAUUAAACAUAAUAAUAGUAUCAAACACGAAAUAAAAACUAUGAAUGUAUAUUCAUAACAAUAAUAUUAAGAACUCGUACGUAAAAUAAUAUAUAUAUACACGAAUAAAAUAGUGUUAGAAGUAUAUACUAUAAUAAAAAUAUAACUUGCAAUGUUAAAAUAUAUACAUAAUAUAUACAUGAAUAAAAUGGACAUUGAAAAAUGUAUAUACGCGGCAUACGUGAGAAAUAUAAACAUAAUAUUAUUAAGAUAAGUGAUAAUAGUGAAAAUCAAAGGUAUAGUAAUAAAUAUAAUGAUAUACGAAAAUAAUACUAUAUGUAAAAUGUGUAAAUAUAUAUACAAUAUGAUAAAAAAUAAACAUAUACAUAUAAUAGAAUUUAAAAUAUAUAUAUACAUGGGGUAAUAUGGAAAUAUGUACAUAGAGUAGUAUAUACAAAAUAUAACUAAUAAUAUUGAAAACACAUGUUCAUAAUAUAUAAAACAUACAUAUAAUAUAAUAUUAAAACAUUUACAUAAUAUGUACACACAUAAUUACGAUGUUAAAGGUGUAUUAACGUUAAUAAUAAUACUAAUAUUACAUGAAGAUAUACUUAUAUAAACAUAUAUUAAAGAUAUAUACAUAUAUAAUAAAAUACAUGAAUAAUACGAUAUUUAAUAUAUACGUAAUAUGUAUAAUAAUAAUAAUAAUAUACAUAAUAUAUACAAAAUACACAUAAUAUAUAUGUAUAUAACAAAACACAUAAUAGUGAUGGUAUUAAAAUACAAAAAAGAACAAUAUAACAUAACAAAAAUACUAUACAUAUAAAUCUAUGUACGUAAAAAAAUAUACUAUUAUAAUAAUAAUUAUAAUAAUAUUAUUUAAAUACCAAAAACAAAUAUAAUAAAGAUAUUGAAAUAAAAUAAUAAAAAUAAGCCGAUACGUAAAAAUAUAUACAUAUACAUAUAUACUAAAACAUGUAUAUAUAAUAAUAAUGUAAAAAUAACAAGAAUAUUUGAUAAAGAAAUGAAAAUAAACGAAGAAAGGAUUAAAAUUAAACUAAAAACAAAGUUGUGGGGCCGAUUUAAAAAGAAAACGAAGAGAAAGGGCCUAUUUGAACACGCGAGAAAACAGUGGGGAUCAAAAAUGCAAUAUUCCCUGUUGUCCAAAACGCAGUGUAGCACGGGGGGACGAAAUUGAAAACUAUGAAGAAUUCUGGGGCCAAAUUAAAAUAUAAAAACUUAAUUGUAAAUGCAUGAAAAAGCAGAGGGGCCGAUUGUACAAAUAGCCCCUCCAUUAAAAAAACACGCGGAUCUUAGUCGGAGCAAGUGAGGUCGACCCAACCCAGGGCAAAACGACGUCGUUUUAUGCCCUGAGUUUGAAGGCCAAAACGGUGCUAUUUUUAGAGGCUAUAAAUAGCCUAAAAAUCAAAAAAAAAAUCAUUUGGGAGCUGGGAAAGGAAAAAAAAAGAGAGGGGAGAGGGCUGAGCGAUUUCCGGUGGGGAGAGGGGGCACCGGUCCGUCACCGGACCUUCGCCGGCGCUGUACGGUGGCCGGAAAGGUAAAAAAUCUAUUUUUUCUUAUUUUUUGUACUGUAUUUUAUGUUUAUAUUAAAUAAAAAAAAUAAAGAAAUGUGUAUAUAUAUAUGUAUGCAAAAAUCGAAAGAAAUAAAGAGAAAAAAAAUGCAACCUUUUCGUUUACUCCUUGUUUGUUUGAACAACCACUAUUGUCUGUUUAUUGAAGUCUAUAAAUUCCUUUUGAUCUUUACAAAGAAGAAAGGAAGAAAAAAAAAGGAACCCUCUUACCGUUUUUGAUUUGGGUUUUUAUAACCCUUUUUCACCUAUUUUUUUUAUUGCUUCUGUCUUGUCUGAUUGCAGGGAAUGGGCACGGACGGUGGGGUGUGUGAUGGCUCAGCACGCGCGGGGCAUGGUGGCCGACAUGGUGGAGAAGUGUCAGGCACGCAUAGGGCAACGGCGCCAAAAACCCUAGGGUUUCUGGCUUUCCAAAAUUUUUUAGAUUCUUGGGCCUAUCGGGCUUCACUGUUUUGGGUUGGUGUUGGGUUUUAAGUGUUUAGGUUAGUUUGGGUUUUGGUUGUAACUGGGUUUUGGAUAUUUAUAUUUAGGCCUGGGCAAUUUAAAUGGGUCAUUUGGUUUUGAUUGUAAACAGGCCAAAAUUAGCCUACAAUAAGCGCAUUUCUAACUCUUCCAUUAUCAAUAAAUUAAGUUUGACAUUAUCUUUAGAUUUAUCUAAUCAAAUGUUCAUCAUUAUAUACCAGAGAAACUUUGAUCAAUCAUGACUUUGCUUCUCCAGAUCUUGUCUUAUACAAUUAAAGUCUUCUUGCUUUUUACUAGCUUAAUUGACAUCUAAAUUUAUUUUUCUAUUUUUAAGUAAAUUUUUAUUUUAUAAACUUCUAUUAAUUUUUGUAUUUUGAUAUUUUUCUCUAACUUAUUUGUAGUUUUCUUAAUUUUUAAUAAUUUUUAAAAUUUUAUACUAUUUUAUAAUAUUAAUGAUGUUUCAAUAAAUUUUUUUCUAUAUUUUUAUAAAAAAAUUAUAAUAUUUUUCUAAAAACUUUUUUAACAUUUACAAAUUUUCUAUAACUUUUAUAGUUAUUUACAAGUUUCCAAUUUUUUUUAUGAAUUUUAAAUUUAAAAAUUAAUUUUUUUUUAAAUUUUAAUAUUUUUACUUAAAUAAUCAAUUAAGCCAUUAUAUAAUAAUAAUAAUAAUUAAUUAAUUAAUUAAUUAAUUAAGCCCUCCACGUCAUCAUUUAUCAACAUGAAUAGUUAAUGGCCAUCAGAGGCUUCAACAGAAACAAGAAUUCAAGGGGUCAAUUGGUCACCAAUCAUGAUUCAAAGGGUUUAAUUAGAUGCACAUUUUAAUAAGGGAUUAAUUAUUUUUUUAAAAUUAUUUUCCAAGGACUUAUUUAACAUUUUAACUAGAUAAAAAAAGUGAUUAGAAAGGAGGAAGAAAAACUUGAAUAAGCAAAUAUAACUAGAAAUAUUAUUUUUUAGAAAAAAUAAAUAAAUUAAAUGUCUUAAUAACAAUCUAAAAAAAAAAUUCCUUUAAAAAUGUGCCAACUAUAUAAUUUAUUAUUUUAAAACCCCUUAAAACUCAAAUGAUUAAUAGUAAUAAUAGAAGUGCAAAAUACCCAUAUUCAAUAUAGAGUUGAAAUUAGAAAGCAAAUAAAAAAAACCUAUUGUGCCCAAUUAAUCCCUAAUUCCUAUAUUAGGUAGAUUACACAUGAAUUUAAUUAAUUAUAAUUUAGUAUAGUUAUUUACAUAAAAUUUUAAUUAUAGUUCAAAUGUAGAUAUUAAAUUUUAAUUAUAAUUCAAUUAUAUAUAUUUAAAAAAUAAAUAUAAUUAUUUAUUUUAAUAUUUGAAUUAAUAAAAUUAUAUAUAUUGCAUUCAUAUCAUGUUGUCGUGUUAGGUCAAAAAAAGUAUGAAAUAGUGAGUUGGAAAAAGACGAUACAAAGAAGCACAUUAAAGAGGAGAUCGGAGAGCAUUAUGAUGAUGUGAAAUUGGCUUAAAGCCGACCCUAAAUUGAAACACCCCCUGCUUCUCCCCAUGUGACUAUUACUUUUAUUGUUUCCCUUCACGUGUUUAAUGUGUACCUCCAAUUUCAUAUACUAUAUAUGUAUCUUAUGUUAAAUCUGCAUGCUAUACAUUCAAGCCAUUCUCUUUUUUAUUUUAUUUUAUUUUAUUUUUAAAAGAAUGGUCCAAUUUUAGUUGCUGAAAUUUUAAAUUUUAUUUUUAACAUAAUUUGGUACUUUAACUUUUAUAAUAUUAUAGGUAGUCUAGAUACUUUAUUCGAAUUAAAAUGUUGACAUACACAUGUUCGACUAUAUAACCUUUUAAUUCUCUUUUCAAUUUAUUGAUGGUCAAAUUUUAAUUUUGGUCCUUAUAUUUUAUGCUCAAUUUUGAUAUUUGAUCACUAUGUUGUAAUAUUUGACAUAAUUUGAUACAUAAAUUUUUGUGAUGUCAUUAUUAGUCUAAAUACUUGAUUCUGAUUAAAAUGUUGAUGUAAAUGUGUCUAAAUACAUAGCCUUUUACCUUCUUUUUUUUUUGAGAUUAUAUAGCAAUGGUCAAUUUUCAAAUUUUGUCCCUGUAUUAUACUCAAAUUUGAAAUUUAAUUUUUAUACUUUAGUUUUUUUAUAUAAUUUGGUACUCCACCUUUUUUAAUAUCAUUACUUAGUCUAAAUACCUUUUUCUGAUUAAAAUGUUGACGUAAAUUUUUAAGAAUCAUAAACACUUUUAAAGUUUCUUGAUAAAUUCAAGUCUACUAGAUUGUCAUUUUUUUGUUACAUGGCUACGAAUAUCAUAGCAUAUUUUGAAAUCUGAAUUUUGAAAUCUAAAAGUAGAGGGACUAAAUUCCAUGAAAUAAAAGUAUAAAGACUAAAUUUCUAGUUUUUGAAAAUUACAAAUAUUUAUAGUAUAUUUUAACCUAAAAAUAUUUUUAUAAAUUUAAUAUAUAUAUUGAAAGUUAAUGAUGGAGAAUAGGGUUGUUUGGGAUCAAUCCCAAGCUCUCAUAACUACAACAUAGGGCUCUUACCAUUAGGCUAAGAGGUUAUUGGCAUAUAAAUUUAAGGGAAAACUUCCUAGUUGGUCACUCAAUUUUUAAAGCACUUUUUAUUUUGGUCACCUAAAAUAAAAUCCUUACAAUUUGGUCACCCAACUUUUAAGGCGCUUUCAUUUUAAUCACCCAAGCAUUAAAUUUCUAAUGGUGGUUAAUUGUAAAUGCCACAUCAUUUUUGCACUUUCAUUCUGGUCACCCAACUUUUAGGUCGCUUUCAUUUUGGUCAUCCAUAAAAUAUCUUUUUAAAAUAUUGAUUGGGAUAAAAAAAAUCAAGGAUUAGAGUGAAAAAUAGUAUAAACAAAAUAAUACAAUUUUUUUUUUCAAAUUGUACUUGUUUAUCCCAUUGCUGAAAAUUCUAAAUUUGGGUUUUGAAAUAUACAAUUUUAAAUAUUAAGAUUCAAAAUGAUAGUAACAAAUUGGUUUACAUUAUUAAUGGAUAAAAUUUUUUCAACAAUUUAUUUAAUUUUGGUUAAAAAUAAUAAUUUAUUUAAUUUUUUUUGAUGUUUUGAAAUUAUUUUUAAAAUUUGUCAAUGAAAAAUAUUGUCUUUAAUAGUUUUCCACGGAACACAAAUUCCUUUUGAUUAUAUGAUUUUGAAUCAUCCAUGCUAUGCUAAAAGUAAAGAAAAAUUCUUAAAAUUAAUUAAUUUUAUCUUCCAUUCCAAAUGAAACUCAUAAUUUUUUUAUUAUCAUAUAUAUCUUUACCCAAAUGUAGAACAAGCAAUUAAUUUAAUUAAUUGCAAGUAUCUUUUCCUAUACUUUUACAUUAGUAUAUGGAAGAUUCGAGAUUAUAUAACUAAAAAAAUUUAUAUGUCAUAGAUAAUUAUUAAAUAUGAGUUAUUUGAGUUGAUUUUGUUAAUGAUAAUUUGGAAACAUAAAAUAAAAUUUUAAAAUUUAAAAGAAGAUUAAAUUAUUUUCUUUUUAUAACUAGGGGAGGGGGAAUGGGUUGUGACUAUCUUAUACUUAUAAUAUAAUGCUCUUGCCAUUAGGUUAAGAGGUUGUUCGCUAAAUGAAUUAAUUUUAAUAUUAUAGUAACAAAUUGUUUAACAUUAUUAACGGAUACAAAAUUUUCUACAAUUUAUUCAAUUUAAUUCAAAAUUUUCUAUAAUUUAUUCAAUUUAAUUUGAUGUUUUGAAACUUAAAUUUUCAAUAUUAAAAAAAUUAAAUUUUUUGACAAUGAGAAAAAAAAGUACAAAAUAACAAUUUUUAUGUAUUAGUUUAGUUUCUACCGCUUUUUCACAUUAAUCUUUAAUUUUUUUUACCUCAAUCAAUACCUUAAAAAAAUAUUUUUUAGGUGACCAAAAUGAAAGCAACUUAAAAAUUGGGUGAUUAAAAUGAAAGUGUUAAACAUGAUGUGGUGUGCACAGUUAACUGCCAUUAGAGAUAUAAUACCUGAGUGAUUAAAAAAAAAGUUCCAAAAGUUAGAUGAUCAAAUUGUAAGAAUUUCCAAAAUAAAAUCCAUUUUAAAAGUUGGGUUACCAACUAUGUAAUUUAACCUAAAUUUAAUAUAUUAAUAGAUUAUGCUCGGUACAUUUUUCACAUAUACUCCGACUAUGUUUUUUUGCAUCAUAUAGGACAUUCUUACUUACAUUCUGCACACAAGAAAAGGCUAUUGAUCAGUUUCUCUCUUGAAAGAGUUAAAAUUCCCUCUCUUUGACCCCAAAUGAUAAUGAAAGACAGUUCCUGCUCUUAUUUCCAUCCCAAAGAAGGUGUCGGGGUAUGCCCUUUGUGCUUAAAUGAGAGGCUUCUUAUCUUAGCUUCAACCACUAGCACUGCCACCCAUAGAUAUGUUCAACCUGUUUCUCACAUCAAAUCUCCCAACUUCUUUGCUUUUACCUCUCUUCUCAAUCGUCUUCAGUUCAAGCAUUCCAAAUCUCAAACUUCUUAUGAUCCUGAUGAUGCUGCUUCAACCCCUCAAGCAGGUACUUUUUCCUAUUUCAACAUAGUUCAAGCCCGUACAUUUACCAUUUAAUUGUUGGACCAUGCACUUCAUUCGUAUCAAAAAUCAUAAAGACAAGAAAGAUCAUACAAUUUUUCUACUCUCAAUCCACUACGGGGCCUUUUUUUCAUGUCAUUUUUUGCUAAAUAAUGUUUUCAGCAUAUAAAACUCAGGUAAAGAUAGCUUUCCUUCUAUAUAAUUUUAGUUUUUUAGGGAUUUAGACCUGUAUGAAUCAAUUAAGCUAAAUCCCGAGUUUGACAUCACGACAUAGAUGUCGGAAUUCAGCCUCCAAACUUGUUAGAUGUCGGUUCUUAAAGGCAAGUGUAUGAAAAUUAGGCUAAAUUCCGGUUUCAUGCUCCAAAUUUUACUUUGGCAGACUCCUUUAUCUCAAUCAAGUUUGAAGAGGACGGUGUUGGUUCACGGGAAACAGGCGAAGUUACAAAGGUCUCACUUGAGCACUGCACCAAGUCUUGGAACCCCCCCCCCCCCCAUGACCCAGAAUCAAAGGGAGGUCAAUAAAAGUGUGGUAGAACAGGUCAAACCACUCGGUUUGCUUAGGUGGCUAAAGCGGAUAGGCCAGUUGUUCCAACUCAUCGAAAGUGGAAGAGGUCCAGCAAGCCAAAAGUGUGCCACAUUGGCAGCAAGGUAGAGGGAGCCAAGGUGAUGAAGAGGGACUGGAUAAGGACUUUAACAAAGAAGACCAAAGAAUAAAGAGCUCCUUUUUUGUUUGUAUAGAAAAGGGACGCAAAAGCUUUGUCCACUACUCCCACUAUAUCAAUUUGUGUCGUCGGAGAGUGCUUUCGGCUUAUAAACUACAACUCACAAUAAUACUUGUAGAUGAUGCCUCUUAUUAUUUAUUCCGGUAUAAAUUCCAGUCGGUGUCGAUUUUACCAGAAUAUGGUGUAUAAACUGGUACUAAAAAAAUUAAUUUUAAAUUAAUUAAUUAUUUUAAAUUUAUUAAAUUAUGAAUUGUUAUAUAUAUAGUAUGAGAUAGUUUAUUAUUUAAUUUAUGAAAUAAUUUGCAAAGCAUAUUAAAAAAUAUUUUAUACAAUUGAUGGAUUUUUUUUUAAUUUAAAUUUACAUACGGUAAAAUUCAAACUUAUACCUAACAUUUUUAAAAUCUUUUCUUUAUCACUUCAACCAAAACUUUAUUUUUUUAUUAGUAUUUUAUAUUUGAGAUUUAUUUAAUUUUAUUAUUUGAUAUCUAUAAAUACUUUUUAUAUACAUAUAUCAAAUGUUCUUUUUAAGUAGCAAUAGUUUCUAAAUGACAGAUCGAAACAGACCAGUAUCGAUAUGUACUAAAACCGGUAAAAAUAUUAAAUCUCAUAAGUCAAAAUUUACAUUUAUAAAAAUUUUGUUUGUACUUUGAGGAGACUAUAUUUUAUGUUUGAUUUAAAUACUUCAAAUCUCAUAUCUAUCCUUGUUACUGUAUUCAUAUCAGACAAGUACCAUUCUAUGAUACCGAGUCUUCGAGACAAAGAAACGGAGAAUGGGGGGACUCAAACACUGUAGAAAAUAACAAUCCGACAAGAAAACGCUUCACGUAGAUAAUGCAAUUACAAGAAUGAUGAAGACAGCAUUCUAGUAGAAUCACAUAGAAUGUGGAGUGCCGAGCUCUUCGGCAAAUGAAGGUUGUAGGGCUCGGAUUCGAACAUCAAAUUUUCUACGAGUAGAAGCUUCAUUACUGGACAAUGAAUCCGAUCCAUCUAAUACAAGAGGGUGAUCGGAAGUUCUAUCAUCAUAAGCAUUUCCAAUAUGGUUGCCACACUUGCGGCAAAGAAGCUUGGUUCUACGGCGGAACAAACCCCACGAAUGCUUUGAAAAGUAAGGACCCCAUCGGAACUCAUCAACUUGCAUAAAUUUGCUCUCAUCUAUACUAAAGAAUGAUAUAAUCCCUCUCUUUAUUGAUUUUCCGUAUUUAGAGCCAAUUGUUGCGGUGUUUCGACUAGACGAACUUAGGUUUAGCUCAUACCCACAAGAACCACAACUGCAAAAAGAAUGGUUUCCACCAUUUUAUCCUCAGGUGUACAUUGUUAAGAAAAAAAAAUCCAAGUGUAAUCUGAUGCUUAUACUACAAGAUCAGGACGUUCACCGAGUAAGGUAUCGUAGUUUGUAAUACUUGGCGCAUCGAAAAACCAUAAAGAAAGAAACAAACAUUAACUUUGGUUUCCACUUUGAGAUGCUCAAAUGGACGACAACUAACUAAAAGUAAACACAAUGACAACAAGCACAUUGGAGUUUAUCGCCUGCCUUAGUAACCGACCAAAUAUAGAAAAUUAAGAACUUUCAGUAGAUGCCAAAGGUAGAGAAAUCAAAUUACAGCUCAGCAACCGAUGAAAAAUCGAAUCCUCAGAUGUUUCAUUACCACAUAUCUAUAAACUAUCAAGCAUGCUAGAGAAUCUGAAGAAUUCAAAGUUACCAUAAACGUUUCAUAACUACAUAUGUACUGACCAUGAAGCAAACUAGAGUAUCUGAAGAAUUUGAAGUUACCAUAAAUGCAAAACAACAUAGAUAAUCAGUUCUUGAACAUCCUAAUAUACCUGUAAGAUAAACAGUUUUUAUGGUGAAUAUUAUCGGCCAUUAACAACCAGAAUAUUAUCCCAAGAAAAGAAAACCACACAAAAGUUAGCUAAUUCCGAAUCCCAGCCUCCCCAAUCCAUAAAUUUUGACAGUGAUCAAGUAUUCUGCUACUGCUGCAACAUUCUCAUUGACCGACCUAUGUUGCUCCGACUCGGACACAUAUUCAAACAUGAGUGGAUAUAAUCAUUCAAAUACACAGAAAAAAUUAGUAAAAGGAAAACAAGGUAGGUACUUUUUAUGUGAUCUUUGAAGAUAAUAAACGUGUGUAUGUAUAUCACCGUUGUCACAGCAAGUGGUCCCAAUAACCAAUCUUAUCAAACUCCAAUUAACAGUUAAUAAUUAACUCUUGGUUAAUCUAACCAGUCCCUUACUCUACAAUCAAUGGAAACAAAGCUAAAAACAUAAAAACUUUACACAAAUUAACACAGUUAGACACAGUUAACAAAGUCAAGUUCCUCCAUAAAUCAACAAAACAACAACAAACCCAGAAAGAGUUAUCACAUAACAAACAAAACACAGAAAUCAAAAACUAAAAUUUUUAAACAUCCAAUUCAACAAAAAGAAGCAAUCAAAAUUCAGGCCCACAAAAGGAAAGAAAGAAAGAAAGAAAGAACAAACCUGUAAGUUACGUGUCUUUGGGAAGCAGAAGAAAGAGAAUGAUGGAGAUUUCCAAUAAACAUCGAUUUCUCCAUUGGGUUUUCUCCUUCCCACAGAAUCAAAAGCUCAGACAAUGACUGUGACGGUGAUGGAGAUGAAAAAACCCAAGCUCUAAGUUCUAAUUGAGGGGUUAACUGUUGGGUCGUCGGCUUAGAAACGUGUCAACCUGAAUCAGAAGUGACGUUAACGCCUAUUUUUCAGGGCAGAGUUUUAGAAUAAUCAAAAAGGGAAGUUCCAAAAACAGCAGGUGUUUGUAGAACAGCAAAAACAAGGCUCUUUGUUGAAAAUGGAAAAUUAGUUUAUGGCUGUCCUUUUUGACGUGAUUUAUAACCCAAAAAAAAAAAAAACAAACAAACAAGUAGGGGUUUUUUAAGAGUGCUUUUUUUUUUUUUUUUUUGCAAAUUUGGAAUAUAAUUAGCUCAAAGUAUAAAAAUUCACCUAAAUUUAUUAUCAUAUCAAUUAAAAACUAUUAUGCCAUUUCUCUAACAUAAAAUUAAUUGAUUAAACCAAAAAAAUACCUUACGUCACAAUAAGGACAUUGGUCCCGUACCAUAAAAAGUUUACAUCCGAUUUAAGCUCAUUAAUAUAUCUUUAAAAAAUAUAGUUUUUCUUGUAAAUAAAAAAUGAAAUUUAAAAAAAAUAUUUUUAUAUUAAACUUUUAAAUUAUUUUUACUAAUUUAAAUACGAAAUAUUUAUUUUUCUCUAAUAAAAAACGAUUCGAUUUUAACUUAUAUUUCAUAAAUAAGUUAUGAUUUCUCAAAUUUGUUUUUUUGCUUAACAAUAAAAAUAAUAUUUAUUAUUUGCAUUAAUCUUAAUACAAAUUGAAUAUCAUUGUUGGUUUCGAUAUUUAAAACCGCUAAUAUGGAAAUUUAGUUGGUAAAAAA
RNAcentral lists this long non-coding RNA (57336 nucleotides) under Gossypium barbadense (sea-island cotton). RNAcentral's name for it is "long non-coding RNA (GBAR_LNC004055)". Lineage: Eukaryota; Viridiplantae; Streptophyta; Magnoliopsida; Malvales; Malvaceae. The record is from RNAcentral.